GGGGACUUCUUGGGGAGCAGCACGGAGUUAAUGUUGGGGAUCACGCCGCCGUGGGCGAUGGUGACGCCGGCGAGCAGCCUGCCGAGCUCCUGGUCGUUGCGGACGGCGAGCAGCAGGUGGCGCGGGAUGAUGCGGGUCUUCUUGUUGUCCUUGGCCGCGUUGCCGGCGAGCUCCAGGACCUGCGAUCCAAAACGAAAUCUGUCAGUUAUCCGUCGAGCAGGAGAAGAACAGAGCAGAACAGGUGCUCGGGGACAGGAAAGAUCGGCGCAUACCUCAGCGGCGAGGUACUCGAGGACGGCGGCGAGGUAGACGGGGGCGCCGGAGCCGACGCGCUGGGCAUAGCGGCCCUUCUUGAGGUAGCGCCCGAUGCGGCCGACGGGGAACUGGAGCCCGGCCUUGACGGACCUGGUCACCGCCUUCUUCCUGUCGCCUCCCUUCCUUCCGGCCAUCUUCUUGCUCCUUCUCCGGCGAGCUGGAAACUACUCGAGAUGCGUGGGCGGCGGUGCGGGAUCGGGAUGCGCUCUGCUCUGAGUUUGUGGGUUGGGACGCCAGCGAGGGCGCGGCUUUUAUUGGGAAGGUGCAGACUUCGUGGGACGGCGGCAGGGGGGAGCGAUCCGCGUGACGCAGUGUGCCUGCCGUUGGAUCUGUGAGAAGUGGGCGGUGGGGAUUGGUUUGGGGGUGCGAUCCGCGAGAGGGUCCGAUCGGCCAAUCAGAGCGCGGGGAUUUGCAUCAAGAAGGGAUUUUGCUUUAAUUAACACCUGGUUUUCUUUUUGUGCAUCAUUUAGGCAUUUUCUUUCACUCUUAUCUUGCAUCUAAUUGAUUUUUUUCAGAUGUAGUAUUUGCUUAUACAUUUAUGUAUACCAUUGUUUUGCUAUUAUCUAACGUUUCAUUUGGAUGAAUGUACUAAGGCCCCAAUUUGGAUUUGAUAUUCUCCAAAUUCCAAUCCGGCUGUUUGGGAUGCACACGAAAAUAGUCGUCAAAAAUAGAACAAAUACAUGCAUGAAAUUGACAACUUGUCCCUUGUUUUCCCCAUCGACGGUGGCACCCAGGUAACCUCCCUUCGUCGGCCCUCCUUCUCCUUCUACUCCGGAACCUGAAUACCGGAUAACGCGGCUCGUUCCCCUCCUCCCAUGCCCCCCAUCUCCUCCUCACAUGGCCUCUACGGCCUGGUCCUAGCCGUCUUUCGCCGCUUCUCCUCCAAUAUUAGAAGUAUGAAAGGUACGUGAUUUCGAUGAAAGUAAUUAUCCUCACAAUUUGUGUCCACUCAAAUUGGCAACAAUAGAACAUAUCCGACAAAAUAGAAAGAAGAAGAAGAGCUCCAAGAAUAACCUUAAGAACAAAUCUUGGGAGGAGCGUAAGGAUGGGCCUUACUAUCCCAAGAAUCUCCAUCCUCUUUUCACUAAGGUAAAAAAAUUCAAUUUCACUAGCUUAUUAUAACAAAGUCGUGUCGAGGUUUUUGUGAAGGGUACGACCAUUGGUACAAGCGUAAGUGCUCGUACCACACCAUACUGUACCUCUAUUAAUUUUUUACCAAUGCCAAGAGACUCAGUACGGGCAAUGUCUUUGACGACGUGGUACAACCUAUGUUACAAGCACGAGCACUCGUGCCAUAGGUCGUCUUCCCCUCUGACUCCGAACCCCUAAAAAUAUUUCUUUUUCGCAUGUGUGGAACCCAAGUUAGACCACCAGUACGAGCCCGGCCGCUCUGGCUGAAGGCCGUCUUCCGUUCUAGAAAAAAGAUUGCUUUCGCCAGAACCCAAUACAUGCACGAAUACGAGCACCAGCUCUCGACCCGACCACGUCUUUUUCUCUGGUUCCUCUAUAACUUGCAAAUUCUCUAGGAAUUUGCCUUGUUUAUUUCCUAAUCUUCUUUAGUUAUCCUUAUCUCAUGAAACACUAUGGUUAUGCCCUAAGGGGACCAUCGACAGAUUGUUGACCCAAAUUGUCAUUUCCAAUAUCAACCACAUUCUCUUUAGGCGAUUAUGCCCUAAUAAAGAGGCAUUCCUUUGGUACUAAUUGGAAGGAUCGAUGCGAUCGACUAGAGGGGAUGAACAAGAGACUACAAAUUUUAAGCUUAUCUUCUAAUUUUAGGGAAUUGUGGAUAAUGUAGGUCCUCUAUAUGUGCAACUAGGUGAACAUGGCAUAUAUGGCAAACAAGCUCAAAGAAAAAUACAAGAGGCAAUGCUGUAAUUAGCAAGCCAACAAGCAUACAAAAAAGUGAAGGAAUGGGAAUUAUUAACCACAAGUGAGUUGAGAAUGCAUAUUUUAUCCCAAAGUUUGCACACUUCUGGUAGUGUUAAUCUUUGUUGGAGCAGUGCCAAAGCCAAAGCUAUAGAAGACCACAACGUGGCUCACUUUAUUCUACCUUCGAGUCACCCCCAAUGGAUGAACCUCGAAUCACUCGGUGUUGGUCUCGGAGGCUACCACCACACGUUUACAAACUUCUCCAGAGCACGCCAUACGCAAGGAAGCUUAUAGAGGAACCUCUACCACCUAGGAGCCCAAACUCCAAGAGUAAAAAGUAUUGAUGAAGAAAUUGAGUGGGGAACACAAAUCAGUUUGGUAGAAGUGUAGAUUGACUCUUGCUCUCCCAUAUCCAAAAGUAUUGGAGUCUUUGGGUAGAGGGAUUGAGAGUAUUAAGAAAAAUGGAGGUUAGCAAUGGUGGAGCAACUCUCAAGACAUUAGGGUUGGGUUGGAGGAAGAAGUUGCUAUUUGUACUCCUUCAACAAAUCUAGUCGUUGUCCUCCUGGAGCCCCCCGUGCACACGGGGUCACCCGAGGCAUUCCCCAUACCUCAUGGGCACGGGGGGUCAUAGACACCAUGGACAUGUGGGUUACAUAGGAUUCGCACUUGACCCCGUGGACAUAGGAUGACAGGGGUCCCAUGCACACGGGGAUCCAGAGAAUCAACCCUAGACCAUGUGGGCACGUGGUAGGAUGACAAAUAACACAUUUAUGAUGAGUUUGUGGUAUUUCAUGGAUAUAGCGUAGGGAAUGUUGGUGUAUGAGUUUGUUGUGUUCCAUCACUUUCUUUCGAGCACCUUGACCCCUCCUAAUGGUGUGGUUGCCCUAGGACUAAAAUAAAGCGAAACCAAAGCUUCAAGUCAUCAAAAAACCAUAUAUUUAUCCUUUUUGAAGUGUGUGUGUGGGGGAGGGGGUAUACUAUCUCCUUAAUUAUCAAUCAAGGAACCAAUGACGUGAGAUAAGAUUAUAAUAACCAUCAUUAGUUCCACUAACCAUGGUGUCAUCACACAAAAACACUCCCUCCAUCUCAAAUUAGUUGUCUUAGAUUUGUCUAGGUGCACAUGUAUCUAGACACGUUUUAGUGUUAGGUACAUCUGCAUCUAAACAAAUCAAAUUCAACUAAUUUAGGAUGGAGGUAAUAUCACUUAGAGAUAAAUGCACUUUAAACAUUAAUUCCCAAAAUGCACGACCCUAAAGGCAUCGAUGAUUAUAUGUAGGUCUCGUUGGUCAUCAUGCCCAUGAAAUUUGUCAUUGAACUCUUGGCCAACAUAGUACAAAAAAAUUUAUUCGUGUGAUGCAUUAGAACUAACAUGGUCUUAUGAAGGGAAAACAAUCCAAGAUUGCCUAUGCUGGGAUUUUGAAUAUCUACACCUUUGUCAAUUAUCCAGAAACCAAUUUUCAUACUACAGUUGGAUUUUGAAAUGGCAUUUGAUAAAGUUAAGUACAAGUGUAUAUUGUCUAUGUUGAAUGAAAAAGUUUUUGGCCCUAAAUGGCUUGGAUGGGUUGAAAUCCUACCGCCUAGGAGUACCCAACCUCCAAGAGUAACAAGAACGAUGGGGAAAAGCUCAAGACUUGCUCAAAUCAUGAAUUCCUUUGGUCAAGAGAGGGGGAGGGAGUGAAUCUAUCACUUGAUUGGACAAAUUCUCAAGAACUCUCUUGAAUCCCUCCGGAAUCUAGGAUUUGGUGUAUGAGGUUGCGGGAGAGAAUGACAUGUGUUCUAGGGUUAGUUCAAAGUGAAUGGUCAACCUUCUCUCAGAGUGGAAGAAUGCUAUAUAUAGUGGUGGUGUAAAUAUGGUUGUUGAAGUGUAAGUGGUUGUGACGGGGCGAACAUCCAACCAUUUGAAAUAUCCACAAGAUGCGCACAAUAUAGAGGAGAAAUGCAGAGUUCCCAGACAUCUGUCAUGGUGCUGAACAUUUGACGUUUGCAUCGCGUAAACCUGCUUCGGUACUAGAUAGAUCAAGCCGGGUAUCCGAGGAAGCCCUGGAUGUCCGACCACUCAGGAACACCCAGACAACCGGCCUGGUAACGGACAUCCGGCGAGCUCACCAUUAAAACCUGCACACGUGCACACGUGCUGGGCAGGAGGAGUCGAAUAUCCGAGAGAUACCCGGGCAUCCGGCCACAGGACCGGACAUCCGGCCAACAGAGAUAGCAAGCACUUAAGGUGUUGAUGAAGAUAGCCCAGAUAUCCAGCUAGAGCCCGGGCAUCCGGCAUACCGAUGUGUAAUGCGAGCACCUAAGACUUACAAGAAGAGCUCCGUGAGAUGUAAAGCUUGUGAACAAGAAUGUAGAGUAGGAUUGGUUAACAAGUUUAGAAAGAAGGAAUUUGAGACCAAAAUGACUUGAGCAAAUAUUUUACUAACACUAUCGAUCCCCUCUUAAUAGAGCGGGGUCCCUAUACUCAAGAAACAUAAAACGAACUCAUAAGCCUUUUGCUCUUUCUUCUUGAGCCAUAGCUUUUCAUUCGUCUAUGAUCCACACACACAACAUAGUCGGGGACGGACACAUGAGAUUUACUUACUCCCUCCGUCCAGGUGCAUAAGUCAUCUUAGGUUGUGCACCACGACCAAGCGGAAGAAUUACGAGAGAACUUAAUGUUUAUUUGCUAAUUAAUAGCAUUGCAUGCAAUGAACUGACCACUUCAUGUCGUGUUUGGUAGUCUCUGAAGGAAAUAUGCCCUAGCGGCAAUAAUAAAGUUAUUAUUUAUUUCCUUAUUUCAUGAUAAAUGUUUAUUAUUCAUGCUAGAAUUGUAUUAACCGGAAACUUGGUACAUGUGUGAAUACAUAGACAAAAUAUAUAGUCCCUAGUAUGCCUCUACUGCACUAGCUCGUUAAUCAAAGAUGGUUAUGUUUCCUAACCAUAGACAUGUGUUGUCAUUUGAUGAACGGGAUCACAUCAUUAGGAGAAUGAUGUGAUGGACAUGACCCAUCCGUUAGCUUAGCAUUAUGAUCGUUAUAGUUUCAUUGCUACUGCUCUCUUCAUGACUUAUACAUGUUCCUCAGACUAUGAGAUUAUGCAACUCCCGAAUACCGGAGGAACACUUUGUGUGCUACCAAAUGUCACAACGUAAAAGGGUAAUUAUAAAUGUGCUCCACAGGUGUCUCUGAAGGUGUUUGUUGGGUUGGCAUAGAUCAAGAUUAGGAUUUGUCACUGCGUGUUUCGGGGAGGUCUCUGGGCCCUCUCGGUAAUGCUCAUCACUAUAAGCCUUGCAAGCAAUGUGACUAAUGAGUUAGUUGCGGGAUGAAGUAUUACGAAACGAGUAAAGAGACUUUCCCGUAACGAGAUUGAACUAGGUAUGAUGAUACCGACGACCAAAUCUCAGACAAGUAACAUACCGAUGACAAAGGGAACAACGUAUGUUGUUAUGCGAUUUGACCGAUAAAGAUCUUCGUAGAAUAUGUAGGAACCAAUAUGAGCAUCUAGGUUCCGCUAUUGGUUAUUGACCGGAAGUGAGUCUCGGCCAUGUCUACAUAGUUCUCGAACCCGUAGGGUCCACACGCUUAACGUUCGAUGACCAUUGGUAUUAUGAGUUUAUGUGUUUUAAUGUACCGAAGGUAGUUCGGAGUCCCGGAUGUGAUCACGGACAUGACGAGGAGUCUCGAAAUGGUUGAGACAUGAAGAUCAAUAUAUUGGAAGGUUAUGUUUGGACAUCGGAAUAGUUUUGGAUGAGUUUGGGCAUUUACUGGAGUACCGGGAGGUUACCGGACCCCCCCCCGGGGGGGGGGGGGUCAAUGGGCAUUCAUGGGCCUUAGUAGAAAAUAGAGGGCAGCAAGGGAGCUGUGGGGCGUGCCCCCUAGGCCCAAACUGAAUUGGUUUAGGGCUUGGGGGGCGGCCCCCUCUUUCCUUCUCCCCUCCUCCUCUUUCCUUCCCCUCCUAGUUGGACUAGGAAAGGGGGAACCUACUCCUAGUAGGAGUAGGAUUCCCCCCUUGGGGAGCACCCUAUGAGGCCGCCGACCCCCUCCCCUUGCUCCUUUAUAUAUGGGGGCCGGGGGCACCCUAGAACACACAAGUUGACAAUUGUUUUAGCCGUGUGCGAUGCCCCCCCUCCAUAGAUAUCCACCUCAGUCAUAUCGUCGUAGUGCUUAGGCGAAGCCCUGCGCCGGUAACUUCAUCAUCACCGUCACCACGCCGUCGUGCUGACGAAACUCUCCCUCGACCUCAGCUGGAUCUAGAGUUCGUUGAAUGUCACCGAGAUGAACGUGUGCAAAUCGCGGAAGUGUCGUACCUUCGGUGCUAGGAUCGGUCGGAUCGUGAAGACGUACUACUACAUCAACCGCGUUGUCAUAAUGCUUCCGCUUUCGGUCUAUGAGGGUACGUCCCUCUCGUUGCUAUGCAUCACCUAUGGAUAGAUCUUGCGUGAUCGUAGGCUUUUUUUUUGAAAUUACUGCAUUCCCCAACAGUCUCAAGUCAUUGAAAGCAUACAUGCGCCACAUCUCUUAUUGGGUGAUUCCUUUAUGUAUGUCAAAAAACAAGAAACAAGGUGAGAGUUAAUGCAUUGUACCUAACUGUUUUGGUAUUAUUUGGUUUUCGUAAGCUGACUUAUACACCUAGAUGAAGGCAGUAACAAACAUGGUUAGUCCCCUACAUGUAUAUCGCCAUCAACAUCAAAAUAUGAUGCAAGGGCAUGAUUGCACUUUCACUUGACGCCACGCUCCCAUGUCAUCGAGAAGCUUCAGUAGGUGAACUGCCUAGAUAUCGUCAUGAUUAUUUGAAGUUCUAUCAAUUGCCCAACAGUAAUUUCUUUACCCACCGUGUGCUAUUUUUCUUGAGAGAAGCCACUAGUGAAACCUACAGCCCCCGGGUCUCUUCUUAGUCAUAUUUGCCUUCGAGAUCUAUUUUUAUUUGCUUUUGUUUUCAGAUCUAUUAAUCCAAAAAUGCAAAAGUACCUUGCUGUAAUUUUUAUUUAUUUAUUUUAUCUUGCGUUCCCGCGAGAUCUAUUUAUCCAAUCUACUACAAUUUUACCUAUCUUUUUACCCGUGAGGGAUUGACAACCCCUCUCUUACGUCGGGUUGCAAGUAUUUGUUCUUUGUGUGCAGGAGCUAUUUACAUGGUGUUGUGUGGUUCUCCUACUGGUUCGAUAACCUUGAUCUCAUCACUGAGGGAAAUACCUACCGUUGUUGUGCUGCACCAUCCCUUCCUCUUUGGGGAAAUACUGACGUAGUUCAAGCAAACAUCAGUGGCUUGCCAUCAAGUAGAUCCUUGGAUUUAGCUAGGUUACCUGUUUCAUUGCUUGGUUUUCUACCUGUUAAAGAGAAGCUUAGGUCUAUAUAGAUUCCUGAGGUAAUAUCCAUUGUUUCUCAUAUUUUAGUUACAACUGAUUCCUCAGUUCUAACUCCUUCAUGUUAUUUUCAUUAUUUGUCCUCUUUGUACCACUGUUUAUUUCAAUUUCUGAAAUAAGGAUGGCCUUGGUGGCUUCAAAAUAUGCAGGACCGUAUUUACUUGCACUUUGUUUAUAUAUGGUUGAUGCUAGAUUCUUCUAGAAAAUUUGUUGUUACAUUAGUGGUCUAGCUAGAUUGCAAGGAAGGGGUUGUAUCUUUCCUUGCUUUGUUUGAUCCUGGAAGAUGGGCGUCAGUAGGUGAACUAAUUGAUUUUGAUUUCAUAUUAUUGUGCAUGCUUCUAGUGUGGGAUUAUAUUAUAUUAUUAGGUUUAUCAUGCUCCUGAUUUUGCUAUUGACUGUGUUUUUCAGUUAGUGUCCUAUUGUUGAUCUGUGAUCUGUCGUCGAUUGUUGCUGCCGCUCGGUUGAUAAUUUACAACUCAUGUUUUUCUACCCCUACUUGUUUGUGAGGAGACAGGGCUGUGUCCAUCCUUCGGCCGUCUUUGCUUCGAUCCGCACACACUUCACAUUUGAUGAUAAGAGUUGCAGCUCCAUUAUUUCCUUGUUCUAAACUCUCAAAAGCACGUGAUGUCGUGGCAGCAGCAAUGGAGGUCUCCAAGGCCCCUUCCUCUUCUAGUUUGGCAACCCACCAGCCCUCCAAGGUUAGUGCUCCUAAUGAUCGAGAAUUCCUUUAUCGAUUAAUCGUGUGCGUCUCCAAGAAGCAUAGAGGUUAUUAUAUGUAAUGGUUUCCAUUCUUAUGCCUAGAGAUUCUUGAGACAUAGCACAGUGCCAAUGCGGUGUGCUUCGACGUGGAUUGCACGGUAUGCUUGGAUGAGGGUAUUAAUGAGCUUGCUGAUUUCUGUGGGGCUGGGCAGGCGGUUGUCGAGUGAAAGACAAAGUAAUGGUCACAUUUUCUGGAGUAUAUUAGUUGUUUAGCCUAUAAUAUCUUCCGAAAACUAAUCUUGGCCUUAUUAUUCUCAGGGCAAUGACAAGACCGUUCUAUUUGAAGAGGCUCUUCCUGCCUGGAUCUCUUUAAUUAAGUUAUCUCUGUCCCAAGUUGAGGAUUGUUUGGAGAAGAGGCCACCGAGGUGACCUUUUACAAGUCCCAGCUUCAAGUUAAUCACUAUUUAGCUGCCACUUUUGCAUUCCUAUAUUGAACCAUCUGAGAUUCCCCAGCUCUAUUAUUCUUGUAUUGGAAUGGUUAUAUAUGUGCUACUGAACAUAGAAUAAUGAUCUUAGGAAUGCUUAACUGGUUUUACUCGGCUUCUCUUUUUAAGCUAAUACGAAAAAUAAUAGCUACAAUAUAUGCAAAAUUUGUUUGGUACCACAGUAAAAAUGCGAUUUCAGAAUAGUACCACCACAUGGUAUAAGUUCAUUUCAAUAACACUGAAUGAUACAUGUCUAAGUUCAUUUUAAUAACACUAAAUGAGACAUGUCUAAGUUCAUUUUAAUAACACUAAAUGAGACAUUAAAAUCUGCCCAUACCACUUCAGUCUUAACCUUUAGGUUGUUACAUUCCCUACAACCACAACAUAACCCUUUUGACUUAUUUGCCUCAUGGGUUAAUUAGAUAUUUCCUAAGAUUUCUGGCUACAUAAUAAUUCUAAGGCAGUAUUUGUUUCAUUUAUUCAUCACUGCAACAUAUGUAAAUUUUGUGUUGGUUAUGCAUUAUUUAUCUUCCUAGUUCAUUGACAUGUUUAUAUGUUUGUAUCUGCAGGAUUUCUCGUGGAAAUGUUGAUUUUAUUAAUACAUUAAAAGCCAAUAAUACUAAAGUAUUCCUUGUGUCCGGAGGUUUCCGGCAAAUGAUCAAGGUAUAUCUUCACUAAACAGUUGCACUAAUGAUACUUUUGGAAUAUGGAUUAUCCGAACAUAGUCAAGAUGCUUUUAAGAUAUCCAUAGUUUGAGUACAGAAAUUGGUUCUAAAUUUUCCUUCUAUAUUAUUUGUUGAACAAUAAACGAGGAUAUGUUUCUUCCCAUGAUCUAAAAGCAACCAUUCCUCUUUUCUUCACUUGAGAACAUUUUAAAUUUAUUUUUGUGAUUAAAGUUUCACAUACAUGCUUAAAGAGUCAUUGUUGGACUAUUUUUCUUGUUUCCAGUCUUUGGUGUUUGGUCUUGGGAUUCCUACUGAAAACAUCAUAGAAAACCAAUUGCUAUUUGGAUCAUCUGGCUUUUAAUACACAGAGCCCACUUCUCGAAGGUGCUAACCAGGCCAACAAAAAGGGCUCACCUGCUAAUAAGGUUUGAAAAUCCUCAUAGUGGUCAACUGAGGUGUAUUCAGGCCUAGAACUUACAGAGCUGUGAUAAAAAGUGUGGUCAACAUAGGUGUAUUUAACCAAACUAAUGUGACCUUCUUUUAGAUUUCACUCGAGAUUAAAUUUUCACAGAGAUUUAAUUGAGAUUUAUUAAACUGCUUUUAUAUUAUAUGUUGGUUUGUUCCUUUAUACUCCAAAAGAAAAAAAUGUCUAACAAAACUCUGGCAAUGAUUUGAAGUAUCAGUUUGCCUGCCUUUUAUUGCACUCAUUGGAUAAUUGUCUACUUUCAAAUUGUUAUGACCUUUGAUCCAUAUAACUAAGUGAGUGUUCUAUCUUUUCAAUUUCUCUCUAUCUGUGUCUGUGUUUUGAUCCAUUUUCAGGAUAGAAAUGUUCCUCGGCACCAUGAAAAACAUCAACAGAGGAACAACCUUUUAUUUUAUUUUAUGUUGCCUCUACUAUAUUGUUGUUGCCACAAGGAUUUACCUGGACACUGAGCCACCAUGAUGUGUUUAAAAAUGAUUACAUUAUCCUUUUCUAACCUGAUGGUGUUAGAAACAUCUUGGCAUUCAAGCAAGAUUAGUUCAUUGUUUAUUAAUUACAAUUAUGUAAAAAAAUCACUAGCCAUUGCUUGACAGAAAAUAUUUUGAUAUGCCAGCAUGUGCACGGGCUAUUCACUAGUACCGGUAAAUGUUAUUUACAUGUUUUGGAUCAUGGAUGAUUGUUUUGAAUGAAAAAAAUAUCAGAUAAAAGAAAGCAUGUGAUAAUGCUGAUAGAUUGAAUUUUUGGUGUCCAUACGUCGUAACCGUACUUUAUUAGAUAUGGUGCGAUCUAUGAUGUCUCUUACUGAUUUACCGCUAUCGUUUUGGGGUUAUGCUUUAGAGACGGCUGCAUUCACUUUAAAUAGGACACCAUCAAAAUCCUUUGAGACGACGCCUUAUGAAAUGUGGUUUGGCAAGAAACCGAAGUUGUUGUUUCUUAAAGUUUGGGGCUGCGAUGCUUAUGUGAAAAAGCUUCAACCUGAUAAGCUCGAACCCAAAUCGGAGAAGUGCAUCUUCAUAGGAUACCCAAAGGAGACUGUUGGGUACACCUUCUAUCACAGAUUCGAAGGCGAAAUAUUUGUUGCUAAUAAUGGAUCCUUUCUAGAGAAGGAGUUUAUCUCGAAAGAAGUGAGUGGGAGGAAAGUAGAACUUGAUGAGGUAAUUGUACCUUCUCCUGAAUUGGAAAGUAGUUGAUCACAGAAAUCAGUUCCAGUGAUUCCUACACCAAUUAGUGAGGAAGCUAAUGAUGAUGAUCAUGGAACUUCGGAUCAAGUUACUACCGAACCUCGUAGAUCUUCCAGAGUGAGAUCCGCACCAGAGUGGUACGGUAAUCCUGUUCUGGAAGUCAUAUUACUAAACCAUGGUGAACCUAUGAACUAUGAGGAAGCGAUGAUGAGCCCAGAUUCCGUGAAAUGGCUUGAGGCCAUGAAAUCUGAGAUGGGAUCCAUGUAUGAGAACAAAGUGUGGACUUUGGUGGACUUGCCCGAUGAUCGACAAGCCAUAGAAAAUAAAUGGAUCUUCAAGAAGAAGACUGACGCUGACGGUAAUGUUACUAUUUACAAAGCUCGACUUGUUGCAAAAGGUUUACGACAAGUUCAAGGAGUUGACUAUGAUGAGACUUUCUCACCCGUAGUGAUGCUUAAGUCUGUCAGAAUUAUGUUAGCGAUUGUCGCAUUUUAUGAUUAUGAAAUUUGGCAAAUGGAUGUCAAAACUGCAUUCCUGAAUGGAUUUCUGGAAGAAGAGUUGUAUAUGAUGCAACCAGAAGGUUUUGUCGAUCCAAAGGGUGCUAACAAAGUGUGCAAGCUCCAGUGAUCCAUUUAUGGACUGGUGCAAGCCUCUCAGAGUUGGAGUAAACGCUUUGAUAGUGUGAUCAAAGCAUAUGGUUUUAUACAGACUUUUGGAGAAGCUUGUAUUUACAAGAAAGUGAGUGGGAGCUUUGUAGCAUUUCUAAUAUUAUAUGUGGAUGACAUAUUGUUGAUUGGAAAUGAUAUAUAAUUUCUGGAUAGCAUAAAGGGAUACCUGAAUAAGAGUUUUUUGAUGAAAGACCUCGGAGAAGCUGCUUACAUAUUGGGUAUCAAAAUGGAGAUAGAUCAAGACGCUUAAUUGGACUUUCACAAAGCACAUACCUUGAUAAAGUUUUGAAGAAGUUCAAAAUGGAUCAGUCAAAGAAAGGGUUCUUUCCUGUGUUGCAAGGUGUGAAGUUGAGUCAGACUCAAUGCCCGACCACUGCAAAAGAUAGAGAAAAAAAUGAAAGUCACCCCCUAUGCUUCAGCCAUACAUUCUAUCAUGUACGCAAUGUUGUGUACCAGACCUGAUGUGUGCCUUGCUAUAAGCAUAGCAGGGAGGUACAAAGUAAUCCCGGAGUGGAGCACUGGACAACGGUCAAGAACAUCCCGAAAUACCUGAAAAGGACUAAGGAUAUGAUUCUCGUUUAUGGAGGUGACAAAGAGCUCGUCAUAAACGGUUACGGCAAUGCAAGCUUUGACACUGAUCCGGAUGACUCAAAGUCGCAAACCGAAUACGUAUUAUCAUUGAAUGGAGGAGUUGUCAGUUGGUGCAGUUCCAAGCAGAGCGUCUUGGUAGGAUCUACGUGUGAAGUGGAGUACAUUGCUACUUCGGAAGCAGCUAAUGAAGGAGUUUGGAUGAAGGAGUUCAUAUCUGAUCUAGGUGUCAUACCUAGUGCAUCGGGUCCAAUGAAAAUCUUUUGUGACAAUACUGGUGCAAUUGCCUUGGCAAAGGAAUCCAGAUUUCACAAGAGAACCAAGCACAUCAAGAGACGCUUCAAUUCCAUCCAUCAUCAAGUGUCGGAACGGACAUAGGGAUUUGCAAGAUACAUACGGAUCUGAAUGUUGCAGACCCGUUGACUAAGCCUCUUCCACGAGCAAAACAUGAUCAGCACCAAAGCUCCAUGGGUGUUAGAAUCAUUACUAUUUAAUCUAGAUUAUUGACUCUAGUGCAAGUGGGAGACUGAAGGAAAUAUGCCCUAGAGGCAAUAAUAAAGUUAUUAUUUAUUUCCUUAUUUCAUGAUAAAUGUUUUUUAUUCAUGCUAGAAUUGUAUUAGCCGGAAACUAAGUACAUUACAUGUGUGAAUACAUAGACAAAACAUAGUGUCCCUAGUAUGCCUCUACUUGACUAGGUCGUUAAUCAAAGAUGGUUUUGUUUCCUAACCAUAGACAUGUGUUGUCAUUUGAUGAACGGGAGCACAUCAUUAGGAGAAUGAUGCGAUGGACAUGACCCAUCCGUUAGCUUAGCAUUAUGAUCGUUACAAUUUCAUUGCUACUGCUUUCUUCAUGACUUAUACAUGUUCCUCGGACUAUGAGAUUAUGCAACUCCCAAAUACCGGAGGAACACUUUGUGUGCUACCAAAUGUCACAACAUAAAAGGGUGAUUAUAAAGGUGCUCUACAGGUGUAUCCAAAGGUGUUUGUUGGGUUGGCAUAGUUCGGGAUUAGGAUUUGUCACUUCGUGUUUCGGAGAGGUAUCUCUGGGCCCUCUCGGUAAUACUCAUCACUAUAAGCCUUGCAAGCAUUGUGACUAAUGAGUUAGUUGUGGGAUGAAGUAUUACGAAACAAGUAAAGAGACUUGCCGGUAACGAGAUUGAACUAGGUAUGAUGAUACCGACGACCGAAUCUCGGGCAAGUAACAUACCGAUGACAAAGGGAACAACGUAUGUUGUUAUGCAAUUUGAUCGAUAAAGAUCUUUGUAGAAUAUGUAGGAGCCAAUAUGAGCAUCCGGGUUCCGCUAUUUGUUAUUGACUGGAGAUGUGUCUCGAUCAUGUCUACAUAGUUUUGGAACCUGUAGGGUCCGCACGCUUAACGUUCGAUGACAAUAUGUAUUAUGAGUUAUGUGUUUUUAUGACCGAAGUUUGUUAGGAGUCCCAGAUGAGUGUCUCGAAAUGUUUGAUACAUAAAGAUUGAUAUAUUGGACAUCUAUAUUCGGACACCAUAAGUGUUCCGGAAAAGUUUCGGAUAAAAUCGGAGCGCCGGAGGGUUACCGGUACCCCCGGGGGAACUAAUGCGCCACAUGGGCCUUAGUGGAGAGAGGGGGGGGGCGCCCCCCCUUUCCUUCUCCCUCUCCAUCUCCUUCCUUCCCCCUCUCCCCCUCUUGGUGGAAUCCUACUAGGAUUAGUAGUCCUAGUAGGAAUCCCCUUGUGGGGCGCGCCCUAGGAGGGCCGGUCGGCCUCCCUCUUGCUCCUUUAUAUACGGGGGCAGGUGGUCACCCUAGAACACACAAGUUUCUCUCCCAACCGUGUGCAGUGCCCCCCUCCACAGUUACACACCUCGAUCAUACCAUCGUAGUGCUUAGGCGAAGCCCUGCGCAGGUAGCAUCAUCAUCACCGUUGCCAUGCCGUCGUGCUGACGUAACUCACCCUCGUCCUCAACUGGAUCAAGAGCACGAGGGACGUCAUCGAGCCGAACAUGUGCUGAACAUGGAGGUGCCGUACGUUCGGUACUUGAUCGGUUGGAUCACGAAGACGUUCGACUACCUCAACCACGUUAUUGAAACGCUCCCGCUUUCGAUCUACGAGGGUAUGUGGACACACUCUCCCCUCUCGUUGCUAUGCGUCACUGAUGUCUACUACACAACCUUCUUCUUGUAGAUGUUGUUGGGCCUCCAAGUGCAGAGGUUUGUAGGACAGUAGCAAAUUUCCCUCAAGUGGAUGACCUAAGGUUUAUCAAUCCGUGGGAGGCGUAGGAUGAAGAUGGUCUCUCUCAAACAACCCUGCAACCAAAUAACAAAGAGUCUCUUGUGUCCCCAACACACCCAAUACAAUGGUAAAUUGUAUAGGUGUACUAGUUCGGCGAAGAGAUGGUGAUACAAGUGCAAUAUGGAUAGUAGAUACAGGUUUUUGUAAUCUGAAAAAUAAAAACAGCAAGGUAACUAAUGAUAAAAGUGAGCGUAAACGGUAUUGUAAUGGUAGGAAACAAGGCCCAAGGUUCAUACUUUCACUAGUGCAAGUUCUCUUGACAAUAAUAACAUAAUUGGAUCAUAUAACUAUCCCUCAACAUGCAACAAAGAGUCACUCCAAAGCCACUAAUAGAGGAGAACAAACGAAGAGAUUAUGGUAGGGUACGAAACCACCUCAAAGUUAUCCUUUCUGCUCGAUCUAUUCAAGAGUCUGUAGUAAAAUAACACGAAGCUAUUCUUUCCGUUCAAUCUAUCAUAAAGUUCGUACUAGAAUAACACCUUAAGACACAAAUCAACCAAAACCCUAAUGUCACCUAGAUACUCCAUUGUCACCUCAAGUAUCCGUGGGCAUGAUUAUACGAUAUGCAUCACACAAUCUCAGAUUCAUCUAUUCAACCAACACAAAGUACUUCAAAGAGUGCCCCAAAGUUUCUACCGAAGAGUCAAGACGAUAACAUGUGCCAACCUCUAUGCAUAGGUUCAUGGGCGGAACCCGCAAGUUGAUCACCAAAAGAUACAUCAAGUGGAUCACGUGAUAUCCCAUUGUCACCACAGAUAAGCACGGCAAGACAUACAUCAAGUGUUCUCAAAUCCUUAAAGACUCAAUCCGACAAGACAACUUCAAAGUGAAAACUCAAUCCAUUACAAGAGAGUAGAGGGGGAGAAACAUCAUAAGAUCCAACUAUAAUAGCAAAGCUCGCGAUACAUCAAGAUCGUGCCAUAGAGAGAACACGAGAGAGAGAGAGAGAUCAACCCCGAGGGUGAACUACUCCCUCCUCGUCAUGGAGAGCGCCAGGAUGAUGAAGAUGGCCACCAGUGAGGGAUCCCCCCUCCGGCAGGGUGCCGGAACGGGCUCCCGAGAGGUUUUUGGUGGCUACAGAGGCUUGCGGCGGCGGAACUCCCGAUCUAUUGUUCGCUUCGAUAUUUUUAGGGUAUAUGGGAAUAUAUAGGCGAAAGAAGUCGGUCGGGGGAGCAUCGAGGGGCCCAUGAGACAGGGGGCGCGCCCAGUAGGGGGGGGAGGGUGCCCCCACCCUCGUGGCCACCUCGAAGCUUCCUUGACUUCAACUCCAAGUCUCCUGGAUCACGUUUGUUCCAAAAAUCACGCUCCCGAAGGUUUCAUUCCGUUUGGACUCCGUUUGAUAUUCCUUUUGUUCGAAACACUGAAAUAGGCAAGAAAACAUCAAUAUGGGUUGGGCCUCCGGUUAAUAGGUUAGUCCCAAAAAUAAUAUAAAAGUGUAUAAUAAAUCCCAUAAACAUUCAAAACAAAUAAUAAAAUAGCACGAAUGCUUCAUAAAUUAUAGAUACGUUGGAGACGUAUCAGCAUCCCCAAGCUUAAUUCCUGCUCGUCCUCGGGUAGGUAAAUGAUAAAAGAAAGAAUUUAUGAAGUGUGAAUGCUAGCAGGUGCACAAGUUUGAUCAACGAUAAUUUCAAUCACCUUUUCUAGCAUGAUUAUAUGUCAUAACAGUAGUUCAUCUCAUAAAACUUCUCACGAUCAAGUAACAAGCUAUUCACAUGUUAAAGCAUAGGCCAUAAACUUUCUUGAAAACUAGCAAAUUUCAUUCUUAGUCAUCAAACAAUUACAAUUCAUCUUAUUUUCGGGAAGGGUCCAUGUCAGAGCUUUGAUUUAGCAAACUCCACAUACUCAACUAUCAUAUAGUCUUCUACAAUUGCUAACACUCACGCAAUACUUAUGGUUAUGGAGUUUUAAUCGGACACUGAGAAAGAUAGGGGCUUAUAGUGUUUCCUCCCAACGUAUUCACCUUUGGGUGAUGUCAACAAUAAUAGUUCAUGCUAACUUACAUCCAAUUGGAUAUAUAUAUAUAUAUAUAUCCUGAUAUAUAUAUAUAUAUAUAUAUAUAUAUAUAUAUAUAUAUAUAUAUAUAUAUAUAUAUAUAUAUAUAUAUAUAUAUAUAUAUAUCAGGAUCUUUCCAACACGAGGUGCUUGCCAAAGGAUAAAAUGAAAAAAGGAAAGCUGAAGAUCAGCUUGACUCUUGCAUAAAAGUAAAAGAUAGGCUCUUCGCAGAGGGAAGCAGGGAUUUUGUAGAGGUGCCAGAGCUCGAUUUUGAAAUAGAGAUAAAUAGUUUUGAGAGGUAUGAUCUCAUUAUCAACAUAACAACCAAGAGUUCCUAAUAUCUUCCAUACUACAUACAUUAUAGGUGAUUCCCAAACAGAAUGGUAAAGUUUUUACUCCCCCUCCACCAAUGAUCACACUCCACGGCCAUCCGAAACAACGGGGUACCGUCCAUACCAACAACAGUCCUGGGGGAGUUUUGUUUUAAUUAUUUUUAAUUUGAUUUUGAUCUUUUGAUCAUGGGACUGGGCAUCCUGGUUACCAGCCAUUUUUCUCGUGAAUGAUGAGCGGAGUCCACUCAUCUUGAGAAUAACCCACCUAGCAUGGAAGAUACUGAUAGCCCCUAGUCGCUACAUGAGCGAUUCGAGCAUACAAAACAGAUUAUUACUUGAAGGUUUAGAGUUUGGCACAUGCAAAUUUACUUGGAACGGCAGGUAAAUACCGCAUAUAGGUAGGUAUGGUGGACACUCAUGGCAAAAACUGGGUUUAAGGAUAUUUGGAAGCACAAGUAGUAUCUCUACUUGGUGCAAGGAAUUUUGGCUAGCAUGAGGGGGAAAGGCAAGCUCAACAUGUUUGAAUGAUCCAUGACAAUAUACUUUAACUGAGAUGUGAGAAAACAUAACCCAUUACGUUGUCUUCCUUGUCCAACAUCAACUCUUUAGCAUGUCAUACUUUAAUGAGCGCUCACAAUUAUAAAAGAUGUCCAAGAUAGUAUAUUUAUAUGUGAAAUCUCUCUUCCUUCAAUAUUAUUUCAUGAACUAUUCAAGUGACCAAUACAAUGCUUGCUAACCUUCAAUAAAUUUACAACCUCUACUUCUUAGAUGUGAAGUCAUUACUCCCCAUGGGAUAAGCAAAUGAAAAAUAUAUAAUUUUAGAUUUAUGACAUUCAACUCAUUCAACCAUUUACUCAUAGGAUAUAAGUGAAGCACAUGAGUAAAUGACAAACUACUCCAAAAAGAUAUAAGUGAAGAUCAAUGAGUAGCUAAAUAAUUGUGUAACUAUGUGAAGACUCGCUCUCAGCCCGGCCCCCACGUUGCUCCUUCCCCAGGGCGACACGGGCGGCCGCCAACUCCCCCCGGCCAAAGCUCCCCUCCCUCCUCCUCCCUCCUCCUCCCUCUCACCGUCGCCGCAGCCUUCGGCGGGCAAAGCCCGCACGGAGCCGCCGCCGGCGGGAUCUUCUCCUGCCCGGUGGCUUGGCUUGCUCGCGAGGUGGAGAACUCGUGGCGGAUGAUGGUGGUCGGUGGUGCCUGGCCUGGCGCGGCCCGCGUCGUCGCAUCUGGUGGUGCGGCUGGCGGCGGGGAUUGCGGCGGCGGUGGCUGGCUGGCGUGGGUGGCGGCUGCGAGUUGGAUUGGAGUGCUGGAUCGGGAGGCGCUCGAUCUGGCGGCCUCGUUGGGGUAGAGCUCCGGUGUCCGUGUCGGGGCUGCUAUGUGUUGCUGCCAGCGGGGUGAUGCGGCCGUCUUUGUCGCCGGGGCUGCAGGGCAAUGGCCGUUCCUUUCUCUCCCGUCAGAUCCAACAGGGCUUCGAGCCCCACGGCGGCGGCUGCUCGUCCGGCUGUGCGAGGGCUGGGCGGCGCGGUGAGUAGGCAUGGCUACGGCGGCGGCCUCGUGACGUCCAGCGGUGGGUCGAGGCUACGCGGUUGUGGGGGCUCCAUCUCGCUCGUGCGGCUCCGGCUUCCGGCGAUUCAGACCUGUUGUGGCUCGGCUGUAGCCUCUUGGCGGCGGCUUUGGCUGUCCUCCGGCCCACCGAGGCAAGGCUUGGGGCGAGGUCGCAGGCUGGUCAGGCCCUCCCUUGCCUCCAGCUCUGCGAUGUGGGCUCCAUGCCGUCGGGCCUGGCCGGACUCCUUCCGGCGGUGAAGACAAUGACAUGGUGGCUCUUGGGCUCCGAGGCGGCGACCCUGGGUGUGGUGAUGGCGGCUUCGGCCAGGGGGUGGUGCGUGUCUGGUCGUGGUGGAUCAUGGGAUCCCGUGGCCAGAGUGAGGCCGACCUCGGCAGGGGUGGUGGAUAGUGGGCGGCGAUCGGUGGUGGCAGGUGGUUGGACAUCUCCGGGAGAAAUCCUUGCUCCGGUCUUCACCGAAGCUGGCGACGGUGGUGCCUGUGGGUGCCGCGAUCUUUCUUGGAAGCGUCGUUUUGGAGGUGCUCCUCCUCUUCCCAACAGCUUGGGCUCCGGAGGGAAACCUCAGAUCCGCUGGAUCGGGCGAUGGAGGCGUCUUCGCGUCUUUUUCCUCUUUGGGGGCAUCGUCUCGGAGCCGAGCACGACUGAGAGAUUGGAGGAUGAUGGCAUCUUCGCCGUCGAUGGCGGCAUCUUCGCCGCGUGGUUUGCUGAGGCGGGGCGCUGGUUUCUGUUUGGCAAUAAUGAUGGCGUUGAGAGGAGCUUGGGUCGCGGCGUGGUCUUCGGUAGUCGGUUCUUCCCGACGCAAGUCCUGCAUAUUUCUCUUGUGUUGCUCGUCGUCAAAGUUGGAGCUGUCGGUUGCUUGCGCGUGGGGCCAUCUGUUGGCAUGUGCCGUCAUGGUUUCUAUUCCAUGUCGGUGGCCAGGUUGGUCGGUGGUGCCCAUGUCUUUGUGGGUUGUGUUGUAUCGGUUUUAGCCCAGUUUUCCGUCAAUUAACCGGGCAAUUCUCUUCUUCUUAAUCAAUGAAAAUGGCAAGUCUUUUGCCUCAUUUAAAAAAACUCUCUCUCAUUUAAGAAUUUCAGAUCUUGGUAUUUUAUUCAAACAGCAAGCAAAGCAAAAUAAAAUGACAUUGCAAGGAUAGCACAACUCAUGUGAAGAAGCAAAAACUUAGGCUCAACCGAUACUAACCGAUAGUUGUUGAAGAAGAAAGGUGGGAUGCCUAACGGGGCAUCCCCAAGCUUAGAUGCUUGAGACUUCUUGAAAUAUUAUCUUGGGAUGCCUUGGGCAUCCCCAAGCUUGAACUUUUGUGUCUCCUUAAUUCCUCUCAUAUCAUGGUUUCUCUUUUUAUCAAAAGCUUCAUCCACACCAAACUCAACAAGAACUCGUGAGAUAGGUUAGUAUAAACCAAUGCAAAACCUUAUCAUUUUCUACUGUAACAAAUCACUAAAAUUAUUAUUCAACAUUUCAUACCAAAUUCCUCUGCAUAUUUAAUACUCCUAUCCUCAAAUAGAAUCAUUAAACAAGCAAACAUAUGCAAACAAUGCAACCAUAACAGCAAUCUGCCAAAACAGUAUAGUCUGUAAAGAAUGCAAGAGUGUCAAUACUUCCCUAACUCAAAAAAUUAUAAUAAAAAUACCACACUGUAUAAGAUUUAUCAGAGCUCAAUAUGCAAAAAGUUUCAACAUUAUACCAUUCUCUGACUUUUCUAGGGAAUUUUUGCAACAACGGUAAACUUUCUGUUUUGAAACAGCAACAUGUAUACUAGCAAAAUAAGCAUGGUAAAGGCUAUCCUUGACAUUUCUAUUGAAACUAAAGAUGCAAAACAGUAAUCUAAAUAACAGCAAGCAAAUACUAACAAAAUAAAAUGACGCUCCAAGCAAAACACAUAUCAUGUGGUGAAUAAAAAUAUAGCUCCAAGUAAAGUUACCGAUGAACGAAGACGAAAGAAGGGAUACCUUCUGGGGCAUCCCCAAGCUUAGGCUCUUGGUUGUCCUUGAAUAUUACCUUGGGGUGCCUUGGGCAUCCCCAAGCUUAGGCUCUUGCCACUCCUUAUUCCAUAGUCCAUCGAAUCUUUACCCAAAACUUGAAAACUUCACAACACAAAACUCAACAGAAAACUCGUAAGCUUCGUUAGUAUAAAAAAAUAAAUUACCACUUAGGUACUGUUGUGAAGUCAUUCUAAAUUCAUAUUGGUCUAAUAUCUACUGUAUUACAACUUCUCUACAGUUCGUACCCUCCGAUACUACUCAUAGAUUCAUCAAAAUAAGCAAACAAUACAUAGAAAACAGAAUCUGUCAAAAACAGAACAGCCUGUAGUAAUCUGUAUGAAACGUAUACUUCUGGAACUCCAAAAAUCCUACCAAAUUAGGAAGACCUAAGAAAUUUGUGUACUAAUCCAGAGCAAAACGAAUCAGAUCAAAAUCACGUUUCUGUGAAUUAUCAAAACUAAUUUAUUGGGUGCAAAAGUUUCUUAUUUUCAGCAGGAUCAACACAACUAUCACCGUAAGCUAUCCUAAAGGUCUUACUUGGCACUUUAUUGAAACAAAAGCUAUAAAACAUGAUUACUACAGUAGCAUAAUCAUGUGGACACACAAAAACAGUAAGGAUAGGUUUUGGGUUGUCUCCCAACAAGCGCUUUUCUUUAAUGCCUUUUAGCUAGGCAUGAUGAUGACAAUGAUGCUCACCUAAAAGAUAAGAAUUGAAACAUAACAGGAGCAUCAUGAAGCAUAUGACUAGCACAUUUAAGUCUAACCUUAUUCCUAUGCAUAGGGAUUUUGUGAGCAAACAACUUAUGAGAACAAUAAUCAACUAGCAUAGGAAGGUAAAACAAGCAUAACUUCAAGAUUUUAAGCACAUAGAGAGGAAACUUGAUAUUAUUGCAAUUCCUACAAGCAUAUGUUCCUCCCUCAUAAUAAUUUUCAGUAGCAUCAUGAAUUAAUUCAACAAUAUAACCAGCACCUAAAGCAUUCUUUUCAUGAUCUACAAGCAUAGAAAAUUUACUACUCUCGACAUAAGCAAAAUCCUUGUCAUUCGGAAAAGUGGGAGUAUCAUAAGAGACUUGAAUACUAUAAAUUGUUUCCACAUUAAAAGAGUAAUGUUCAGAAAAAGGGGAAUCAUAAUCAUGACAAGUUUUAUAAAUAUAAUCAUCACUACUUUUUAUAGCAUAAGUUUCAUCACAAUAAUCAUCAUAAGUAGCAACUUCGUUCUCAUCAUAAUCGAUUGAAACCUCUUCCAAGAUAGUGGAAUCAUCACUAAAUAAAGUUGACACUCUUCCAAAUCCACUUUCAUAUUCAUCACAAUAAGAUUUAACAUCCUCCAAAAUAAUGGGAUCACUACUUCCUGAAGUUGACACUCUUCCAAACCCACUUUCAUCAAUAUAAUCAUCAUAGGUAAGAGGCAUGCUAUCAUCAUGACAACUUUGCAUAUCAAAACUUGGGAUGCUAAAAAUAUCAUCUUCAUCAAACAUAGCAUCCCCAAGCUUAUGGCUUUGCAUAUCAUUAGCAUCAUGGGUAUUCAAAGAAUUCAUACUAACAACAUUGCAAUCAUGCUCAUCAUACAAAGAUCUAGUACCAAACAUUUUAAUGCAUUCUUCUUCUAGCAAUUGAGCACAAUUUUCCUUUCCAUCAUUCUCACGAAAGAUAUCAAAAAGAUGAAGCGUAUGAGACAAACUCAAUUCCAUUUUUUUGUAGUUUUCUUUUAUAAACUAAACUAGCGAUAAAACAAGAAACUAAAAGAUUCGAUUGCAAGAUCUAAAGAUAUACCUUCAAGCACUCACCUCCCCGGCAACGGCGCCAGAAAAGAGCUUGAUGUCUACUACACAACCUUCUUCUUGUAGACGUUGUUGGGCCUCCAAGUGCAGAGGUUUGUAGGACAGUAGCAAAUUUCCCUCAAGUGGAUGACCUAAGGUUUAUCAAUCCGUGGGAGGCGUAGGAUGAAGAUGGUCUCUCUCAAACAACCCUGCAACCAAAUAACAAAGAGUCUCUUGUAUCCCCAACACACCCAAUACAAUGGUAAAUUGUAUAGGUGCACUAGUUCGGCGAAGAGAUGGUGAUAAAGUGCAAUAUGGAUAGUAGAUAUAGGUUUUUGUAAUCUGAAAAUAUAAAAACAGCAAGGUAACUAAUGAUAAAAGUGAGCGUAAACAGUAUUGCAAUGGUAGAAACAAGUCCCAAGGUUCAUACUUUCACUAGUGCAAGUUCUCUCGACAAUAAUAACAUAAUUGGAUCAUAUAACUAUCCCUCAACAUGCAACAAAGAGUCACUCCAAAGCCACUAAUAGCGGAGAACAAACAAAGAGAUUAUGGUAGGGUACGAAACCACCUCAAAGUUAUCCUUUCUGCUCGAUCUAUUCAAGAGUCCGUAGUAAAAUAACACGAAGCUAUUCUUUCCGUUCAAUCUAUCAUAGAGUUCGUACUAGAAUAACACCUUAAGACACAAAUCAACCAAAACCCUAAUGUCACCUAGAUACUCCAUUGUCACCUCAAGUAUCCGUGGGCAUGAUUAUACGAUAUGCAUCACACAAUCUCAGAUUCAUCUAUUCAACCAACACAAAGUACUUCAAAGAGUGCCCCAAAGUUUCUACCGGAGAGUCAAGACGAAAACGUGUGCCAACCCCUAUGCAUAGGUUCAUGGGCGGAACCCGCAAGUUGAUCACCAAAACAUACAUCAAGUGGAUCACGUGAUAUCCCAUUGUCACCACAGAUAAGCACGACAAGACAUACAUCAAGUGUUCUCAAAUCCUUAAAGACUCAAUCCGACAAGACAACUUCAAAGGGAAAACCUAAUCCAUUACAAGAGAGUAGAGGGGGAGAAACAUCAUAAGAUGCAACUAUAAUAGCAAAGCUCGCGAUACAUCAAGAUCGUGCCAUAGAGAGAACACGAGAAAGAGAGAGAUCAAACACAUAGCUACUGGUACAUACCGUCAGCCCCGAGGGUGAACUACUCCCUCUUCGUCAUGGAGAGCGCCGGGAUGAUGAAGAUGGCCACCGGUGAGGGAUCCCCCCUCCGGAAGGGUGCCGAAACGGGCUCUCGAGAGGUUUUUGGUCGCUACAGAGGCUUGCGGUAGCGGAACUCCCGAUCUAUUGUUCGCUUCAAUGUUUUUAGGGUAUAUGGGAAUAUAUAGGCGAAAGAAGUCCGUCGGGGGAGCCUCGAGGGGCCCACGAGACAGGGGGCGCGCCCAGUAGGGAGGGGCAACCUCGUGGCCACCUUGAAGCUUCCUUGACUUCAACUCCAAGUCUCCUGGAUCACGUUCGUUCCAAAAAUCACGCUCCUGAAGGUUUCAUUCCGUUUGGACUCCGUUUGAUAUUUCCUUUUGUUCGAAACACUGAAAUAGGCAAGAAAACAACAAUAUGGGCUGGGCCUCCGGUUAAUAGGUUAGUCCCAAAAAUAAUAUAAAAGUGUAAAUAAAUCCCAUAAACAUUCAAAACAUAUAAUAAAAUAGCAUGAAUGCUUCAUAAAUUAUAGAUACGUUGGAGACAUAUCAAUCACCUAGAUAGAUCUUGCGUGAUCGUAGGAAUUUUUUUGAAAUUACCGCGUUCCCCAACAUGUACACUGUCUUGUAGUUUCAUGACGAUGUUGAACUCAAUGGUGUUUUGCUCCUAUUACAUGUGAAUUUUUCUUCUUCCUUUUAUUUUAUUGUAUCAUGUUUGAAUACCUGUGCUAAACUUGAUUUCCUACUAAAUUGAGCAUGCACUACCUAGCCAUUGCGUUGUGACCAGCACCCUUGCGCCAAGGCGCGUUUCUGAUCUAGUACAUAACAGAGCAGCUCCAGGCCUUUUUAUGCAUUAAAGCCACGACGAGCUCGGUGUACUUUCGCUAUGAUGUUGCCUUCAUUGCAUCUGAAUUCCAACUGCCAUCUUGUUUCCCGAUUGAUGAACUCCACUCUCCAAACCAACUCGCAUCGUUUUCUUUUAAGAACAUCUCCAAUGGACCCCGAAGACAGGGACGGGCACUGAACGGUUUUUACUAGGCAUGAUCCCCACAAUGGUGCAACCUCAACCCCUCUUAAUAGCGUGGCUUUCCUAAGAUUUAAGUAAACCAGAAAAUACUUUGAGUCCUUCGACAAACUGGCACAUUUUGGGGGGAGAAAAAUUCACUCCAGGCCCUCAUACUCGUCGCGUUGGCCACAUUAGUCCCUGUAGUUACAAAUACCCGAAAAUACGUCACUGAACUUGUCUAAUGUGGUCAUCUAUGGUCGAAUAUAUGUUUUCUUCUACGUACGUGAUGAUUUGGCGGUUGAUUGGCAUGUCCACGGGGGCUUUGACUGCCAGCUCAUCUCCACGCGUUAUGGGCUGACCGAUUUGGUGGAAUGCGGGGUUUUCUUUUUGCAAAAUCGCCAGAGAAUAAACAGCAGCCCACCUGGUCGAACCUAUCCAUCCACCUGGUCAGACCAGACUGAGUUGCUCCCCUCCCCUGCUCUGCUCCGCUCCGCUCCCUUGUUUGUCGCCGAUGCCGAGGUGCAACCUCGAGCUUGCCGGCGUGGCCAACUGUGGUGAUGGCCGCCAUGAGCUCGCCGUCGGCCGCCGAGCCGCUGCCGUCUGCUCCGUUUGUCAAGGGCCCGCGUGACGUCCCUCUUGCCCCCUCCCGUCGUGAGGACCAUGCCUCGCCGCCACUGUAUGGUAUGUCACCGUCGUCACCACCUUCUCUUGCCGAUCUGUCCAGUUUAGCUCUGGGAAAGAGUGUGCGUCCGACUCAAUUGUGCUUAUGGGGUAGGGUUUAGGGUUCUUGGCCCUCCUUUUUGUCACGAAUGGGGUGCGCAUGUAGGGUUUUAGCCGUGGAUUGUGAAGUUAGUGGCAGAUCAAAAUUAGGGUUUCAUGAGGCCUUUCGAUAGGUUCUUCGUAUAUGAACUAUGGUUGUACAGAGGUAAAUAUGGUUUUGAUUGCUCGAUUUGUUAGGCUAAGGGUCUGCCCUGUUAUUUUGGCCGAAAAUGUUAGCUUCAAUUAGGUUACAUCCGUCAACCAUAUGUUGUUUUGUUAAUGAGAUGACCAUUUGUUUGCCAAAUCCCCUAAAAGAACACACUUUUGGACGUGAAAGAUCACACAUUUGAUUACUGGAUAUGCCAUGAAUUCCAUGCUUUUAUUCUGGAAAUGUCUGAACUUUCAAUGUCCGAACCUAUCUAAAUUAUCUAUUUCUGAGCCUGUCAGAACAUUGCCAUUUUGGUUAGAUUGGUGCAGUUACACUUAGCUAUUUGUAGCAAAGAUGCUAUUAAAUAGCAUGGUUCUGAGCCUAUCUGAACAUUUACAUUUUCGUCAUGUCUUCAAUUGGCUGAACUUAGUGCUGUCUCUGUCUGUUAUUGUUGUCUGAACAUUUUUGUCUGAACAUUGACAGUUUGGUUAGACUUGUCUUGUUACAUUGUGUCAAUUUCCUAGCUCAAAUGCUCUCAAAUAGCAUGGUUGUGUCAUUGUGCAGUUACAUUGUCUCUUCCCCUCUGUUAUUACCGUUUGUCUGAACAUUUUGUCAUUUCCAUUGUUUUGCAGGACCCCUAAGAAACCCCUUCUCUCUUGAGGUCAUACAUGGUGGCUAUUUCCUAUGUGUAGGCAAGCAUAGGGAUUACCACAAGGGCCACUCUAGUUGGUAUGACAACUAUGACAUAGAUAAUUGGACACCUACAGUUGUUGCCAGUCUGGUGGAAGAAAUUGGGUAUGAGUUUGAGGGCUGAAAUUGCCACUCUAAUUGGGUUAAUCUAGCAGAAGAUGAUGCCCAAGUACCACAACAGGAGGUCAAUCUAACACCAGAUGAUGAUGCUCAAGAUGGCCAACUCACACAGGAGGAGGUCCAUGUUGCUCAAGAUGUUGCUCAAGAAGAUGAUGAAUAUGAUACACCAGUUAUAUUUCAUGCAAAUGCUGAUCUUUUGUUCACUUCUUAUAUUUGAAUGCUUCACAAGAUGUACAAUGUUUAUCAGUUAUGUACACUUCUUUUCUUUGAGCAGGUGCAAGACUUUGGAUGUACAAUGCUUCACAGGAUGCAGCAAGCUAGACCAGUGCCUAGAGAAUACACUGAAACUAUUGUGCCAGAUUCAGCAUUUAUCUCAUUGACAGCUAGUUCUGAAGCUACAUCACAAACAACAACAGCUACAACUGAUGGGAGCCUGACCAUGAAGUUGCUGAAGAUGAAGAAGGACAAAGAAAGGCAGAUGCCAGCCAGAAGAAAUGCAGCACUGGAGGCCAUGAAUGAGUUGGCAGAGAGGAGAGCAGAGGAGGCAGAAGCAAAAAGGCAAGAAAUUGCUCUCAAGAAAGCAGAGGAUAAUGCACCCCAAGCAAGAAACGAAAAAUCUCGUACCAAGCAUUAAGCAUAAGUAACACCGAAUAAUGCACCACAAGUAGGAUAUAAAUUUCAUUGCAUAACUAUUGACUUCCAUGCUUGCAUAGGGAAUCACAAACCUUAACAUCAAUAUUCUUACUAAAGCACAAUUACUCAUCAACAUGACUUACAUAUCAUAUCGUCAUAUCUCAAAACCAUUACUAAGAAUCAAGUUUAUUUUUUCCAAUGAUCUUCAUGAAAGUUUUUAUUAUAUCCUCCUUGGAUAUCUAUCACUUUGGGACUAUUUUCAUAUGUUGUUUUUAAUAAGCUCAAACAAAUAUAAGUGAGCAUAAUUUUUUUCUUUCUCUCAAAAUAAUCUAAGUGAAGCAAGAGAGAAUUUCCUAAAAAAAUUACUAACUCCCAAAUAAAUCUAAGUGAAGCAUGAGAGAAUUUCUUCAAAAAUAACAAAGCACACCGUGCUCAAAAAGGUAUAAGUGAAGCACUAGAGCAAAUCCAUGGCUCUAAAAAUUUAAGUGAAGCAUAGGAGCAAGCAUAGCAUAAUUUUUGGCUCUCUCAAAAAGGUCUGUUCAGCAAGGAUUCAAGACUUAAAACACAAACAAAAACAAGCAAAUACUCAUAUCAUACAAGACGCUCCAAAAAAACUCAUAAUACGUGACUAAUAAAAAUAUAGCUUCAAGUAAAAUACCGAUGGUUGUUAGAAGAAAGUGGGGAUGCCACUCGGGGGCAUCCCAAGCUUAGUUGCUUGCUAGUUCUUGAAUAUUAUCUUGGGGUGCCUCGGGCAUCCCCAAGAUUAGCCUUUUGCUAAUCCUUAUUCCUUCAUCCAUCGCAAGAUCACCCAGAACUUGAAAACUUCAAUCACACAAAACUCAACAAAACCUUCGUGAGACCCGUUAGUAUAAGAAAGCAAACUACUACUAUAAGUACUGUUGCAAACCUAUUCAUAUUUUGUUUUUGCAUUAUAUCUACUGUAUUACAACUUUUCUAUAGCAAAAACUCAUCAAAGAAAACCAUAGAAUCAUCAAAGCAAGCACACAAUGCAAAGAAAACAUAAUCUGUCAAAAACAGAACAGUCUGUAGCAAUCUGAAUAUUUCGAAUAUUUCUGCAACUCAAAAAAUUCUGAAAAAAAUUAUAUUGACGUGAGAAAUUUGUCUAUUAAUCUUCUGCGAAAAGAAUCAACUCAAAAUCACUCUUCCGUUAAAAAUAACAAAUAAUCUCGUGAGCAGAAAAGUUUCUGUUUUUCAGCAAGAUCAAAUCAACUCUCACCCAAGUCAUCCAUAGGCCUUGCUUGGCACAAACACUAAUUUAAACCACAAAAACACAUCUAAUCAGAGGCUAGAUGAACUAUUUAUUGAAAAACAGCAAGGAAAAAUAUUGGGUUGUCUCCCAACAAGCACUUUUCUUUAAAGCCUUUUAGCUAGGCAUUGAUAAUUUUGAUGAUGCUCACAUGAAAGACAAGAAUUGAAGCACAAAGAGAGCAUCAUAUAGCAUGUGCCAAACACAUCUAAGUCUAACAUACUUCCUAUGCAUAUGCAUUUUAUAAGCAAACAAAUUAUCAAGGCAAGCAAAAACUAGCAUAUGCAAGGAAGAAGAAAGAAACAUUAGCAAUCUCAACAUGAAGAGAGGUAAUUUAGUAACAUGAAAAUCUCUACAACCAUAUUUUCCUAUAUCAUAAUAAUUACAUGUAGGAUCAUAAGCCAAUUCAACAAUAUAGCUAUCACAUAACAUAUUCUCGACAUGAUCCACAUCCAUGCGAAGUUGAGACUCUUCCAAAAUAGUGUGAUUAACAUUAACUAAAGUCAUGACCUCUCCAAACCCACUUUUAUCAAAAAAUUCAUAAGAUUGAAUAUUCUCCAAAGUAGUGGGAUCUAAAGUUGACACUCUUCCAAACCCACUUUUUUUGAUAGAAAGACUGUAAGGGAACCCCCCUACAGUAUAAUUGGUGCAACAAACCCAAAUUGCAAUUACCAUGCCUUGAACCUGGGUGGGUGGGAAGGCAUCAGCCCCUUCCCACCACUAGGCUAUGCCUUAUCAAUCUCAUAUUCAUCACGAGGCUUAAAUAAAUUUUCAUGAUCAUAAGAAGAAUAACCCCAAUCAUGAUCAUUGCAAUAAGUAGAGGACAUAUCAAAAUUAGCAUCCCCAAGCUUGGGGUUUUGCAUAUUACUAGCAUAAUUGACAUUAAUAGAAUUUAUUACAACACCAUUGCAAUCAUGCUUUUCAUUCAAGGAGCUAUCAUGAAUCACUUCAUAAAUUUCUUCUUUUAUCACUUCAUCACAAUUUUCAGAUUCAUGAAUCUCAAUCAAAACUUCAUAAAGAUAAUCUAGUGCACUCAACUCACUAGCAAUUGGUUCAACAUAAUUGGAUCUUUUAAAAAGAUUAGCAAGUGGAUGAGGAUCCAUAAAGUUUUCCUUCUGAUUUCCAAUAAAACACACAAUUAUGCCAAACAACCUAGCAAAGUAACCAAGUAAUACAUAAGGGCAAAAAAAAGGCAAAAAGGGAAGAAGGCAAAUAAAAUGGUAAAUUUUUGUGAAGUGGGGGAGAGGAAAACGAGAGGCAAAUGGAUGCAUGAAGCUUCCCCCCCCCCCGGCAACGGCGCCAGAAAUUGGGAGGAGAUGAGAUUUGUGAUUAGGAACCUGCUUGAUGUUGAAGAUCCUCCCCGGCAACGGCGCCAGAAAUUCCAUUUGAUAUCUGCUAGAACUAUGUCGGUAUUUCCCCAAAGAGGAAGGGAUGAUGCAGUAUAGCAACGUUAGGUAUUUCCCUCAGUGAUGAGACCAAGGUUAUCGAACCAGUAGGAGAACCUCCUCACACCACAUAAACAACACCUGCACACAAAUAGCAAAUACUCGCAACCCGACGUGUUAAAGGGGUUGUCAAUCCCUUUCGGGUACGGCGCCUCAAGAUAGGCAAGUAACAUGAGGUAAAAGUGGUAGAUAGGAUAAAUAGAUCGCGGAACAAAUAAAUUGCAGCAAGGUAUUUUUGUAUUUUUUGUUUAAUAGAUCUGAAAAUAAGUGCAAAGGAAAAUAGAUCGCAAAGGCAAAUAUGAUGAAAAGAGACCCAGGGGUUGUUGGUUUCACUAGUGGCUUCUCUCGAGAAAAAUAGCAAACGGUGGGAAAACAAUUACUGUUGGGCAAUUGAUAGAACUUCAAAUAAUCAUGACGAUAUCCAGGCAAUGAUCAUUAUAUAGGCAUCACGUCCAAGAUUAGUAGACCGACCCCUGCCUGCAUCUACUACUAUUACUCCACACAUCGACCACUAUCCAGCAUGCAUCUAGUGUAUUAAGUUCAUGGAAAAACGAAGUAAUGCAAUAAGAACGAUGACAUGAUGUAGAAAAAAUCUAUUUAUGUAGAAAUAGACCUCAUCUUGUUAUCCUUAAUAGCAACGAUACAUGUGUGUCGUUUCCCUUUCUGUCACUAGGAUCAAGCACCAUAGGAUCGAACCCAUCACAAAGCACCUCUUCCCAUUGCAAGAUAAAUAGAUCAAGUUGGCCAAACAAAACCCAAAUAUCAGAGAAGAAGUACGAGGCUAUAAGCAAUCAUGCUUAUAAGAGAUCAAAGAAGACUCAAAUAACUUUCAUGGAUAAAAACAUAGAUCUGAUCAUAAACUCAAAGUUCAUCGGAUCCCAACAAACACACCACAAAAAGGCUUACAUCAAAUGGAUCUCCAAGAGACCAUUGUAUUGAUAAUCAAGAGAGAGAGGAAGCCAUCUAGCUACUAACUACGGAACCGUAGGUCUACAAAGAACUACUCACGCAUCAUCGGAGAGGCACCAAUGGAAGUGGUGAACCCCUCCGUGAUGGUGUCUAGAUUGGAUCUGGUGGUUCUGGACUCUGCGGCGGCUGGAAUUGAUUUUCGUCGACUCCCCUAGGGUUUCUGGAAUAUUGGGGUAUUUAUAGAGCAAAGAGGUGGUUCAGGGGUGAUGACCCACAAGUAUAGAGGAUCUAUCAUAGUCCUUUCGAUAAGUAAGAGUGUCGAACCCAACGAGGAGCAGAAGGAAAUGAUAAGCGGUUUUCAGCAAGGUAUUCUCUGCAAGUACUGAAAUAAGUGGUAACAGAUAGUUUUGUGAUAAGAUAACUUGUAACGAGCAACAAGUAACAAGAGUAAAUAAAGUGCAGCAAGGUGGCCCAAUCCUUUUUGUAGCAAAGGACAAGCCUGGACAAACUCUUAUAAUAGGAAAAGCGCUCCCGAGGACACAUGGGAAUAUCGUCAAGCUAGUUUUCAUCACGCUCAUAUGAUUCGCGUUCGGUACUUUGAUAAUUUGAUAUGUGGGUGGACCGGUGCUUGGGUGCUGUUCUUACUUGAACAAGCAUCCCACUUAUGAUUAACCUCUAUUGCAAGCAUCGGCAACUACAACAAAAGUAUUAAGGUAAACCUAACCAUAGCAUGAAACAUAUGGAUCCAAAUCAGCCCCUUACGAAGCAACGCAUAAACUAGGUGUCGGUGUCAAAACCGGCGGAUCUCGGGUAGGGGGUCCCGAACUGUGCGUCUAGGCGGAUGGUAACAGGAGACAAGGGACACGAUGUUUUUACCCAGGUUCGGGCCCUCUCGAUGGAGGUAAAACCCUACUCCUGCUUGAUUAAUAUUGAUGAUAUGGGUAGUACAAGAGUAGAUCUACCACCAAAUCAGAGAGGCUAAACCCUAGAAGCUAGCCUAUGGUAUGAUUGUUGUUCCUCUGAUCUAUCGACUAGCCUAGCCCUGGUUUAUAUAAUGCACUAGAGGCCUAGGAUAACAAGAGUCCUAGCUGAAUACGCCGGUGGGGGAGGAGUCCUUGUCUUUAUCACCAAGUCUUGUGGAAUCUUCCUUGUGUGCGGCAACUGUCCGGACUGGCCCAUGAGUAUACGGCCAUGGGGAUCCUCGGCCCAAUCCAACUGAUCGGGAGACGACAUGGUGAGUACCCCCUAGUCCAGGACACCGUCAGUAUCCCCCUGAACCGGUCUUCAAGUUGGGGACGCUCCUCGAUUCUUCCUAACUGUUCUUCAUCUUUGGUCGUCGGUCUUGAAAAAUGGUUCAACAAAUCUUCUCAUCUUUGAUCUUGAGGAUCGCCGAAGUGCAUCCGAAGAGUUUACACGUUGGGUAUCCGAGGGGCCCCUUUAAGUUCCCGGCCUUUAUCAAUGCCUUGUUAUUUUUAUGCCAUGCCUCGGGUUUGAAGUUGUUCCCGGGAGGCAGUGUCCUCUUGCGUCCGAGAUCCAACGCAGGACUGCAUUCGAGGUAUCCUUUGCAGCCGAGCACCAAUGCCGGACUGCUUCCGAGCUCCAAUGCCGAAAUGUAUCCGAGCUCCAACGCCGGACUGUGUCCAAGCUCCAGCGCCGGACUAUAUCCAAGAUGUCAUAGAUCAUCUUGGUACAAAAAAGUUGAAGGAGUGUAGCCGAGCUUAAUGCCGGAAAUGCCCUCUAUGGAGCUAGCCGCUGGCGCCCGAGCUAUAUGCCGGACUGCCUCCGAGGUGGUGCACCACCCCGACCGCGGGUUGAUUUUUUGUGAAUAUUUUUAACUGGUGCAAUUUAUCCUCUGCCGAGAUAUACAACCAGUAUCCCUCAAGGUGUGUAUCAGUCUAAAACCCGAGACACACCUGAAGGAUAGCAUAAAACCGCUGUUCCCAGUAGCCCCUGAGACUCAGGUCGAUGCGCGACAUCGGCCUGAGGAUCAACUCCUAGCUCGGCAGCAUACAUAGGAAUAAAAAUGCAGUGUAAUAUAUUAGAGAUAAUAGUGAUCGGCGAACGGGCCCCUGAGAGAGGGUCGUGAGAAGUCGCCGUGAUAUAUAGCUUGAUGCCAAAUAGGUCCAGAUGGUACUUAUUGCUGUCCGAAGACGCGCUUUCCCAUAGUUCGAUCAAGCCGAAUGCUGAGCCCUUUGAAUUUUCUGCAUUGAAUAGGCAAUGCAGUAGCCCCCGAGACACUGGUCGGGUGGCAACACCAGAUUAGGGGAUCGAUGUGCCCUUUUAAUAUUUGUAAAUAGUGAGCGCAAAGCCCAGUAGCCCCCGAGCCUUAAUGUGGGCACGGGUGGCCGAAUUAAGGAUCGAUAUCCAGAGCAAAAUCACAGAUUAUGUGUAAUGAUUCUAUGUAUCCAAGUACUUUACAUCAUUAUUUUGACUCCAUUGCGACCGUUUAUCAGUUGAAAGUGGCCCAUCAUUGGCUUCUACCCCUUGGUAGAUACUAUGCAGGGUGUGUCCAAAAUAACAAAACAACCCUUAGCCGAUGUCUCGGUGCCCGAACGCGGUUGCGUUAGCGGAAACGAGGCAAUCAGAUAUGCGGGCUUUAUAACUUUCGCUUAGUCAUAGGAGCUUUAAACUGGGGAAGCUAACUAUGAGUCCCCGGUUAGUGUUCGGCGACAUCCAAGGUCAAGCCGUAAACACUUCGGCCAAUGUUAUGAAUGGCCCGUCAUUUAACAUAGUCAUCGGAUCGCUGACCAGUUUACGCCUAUUGUGACAGUCAGUUUUCGGCUUUCUCCACUGAGGUGCUUGACCAUGCGAGCUGGAAGCACAAUCGCAGUGGUUCUCCCUUUGCACACCUAGUCGAACAAAGCGGAACGUAGGAGGCAAGCACAGGGGCCGAGCAACCCAACUAUUAACCGAAGACACAAUUUGAAACCGAUGCAUAUAUAGCAAUAUCCGAUAAUGUUUUUACCGAAUCCCUAAAGGUGUCCGGCGUUGCACUGCGAGACUAAUGCUGGAAACGCACAAAUAGUUUAAAAGUGCCAUAGGCUCGAAAAGCCAAAAAACUUAUUCAAAAGUUUAAUGUCCGAACUAGAUCAAGUGUUCGGUGCCAAUCCGAAAAUUGGAUUUUUUUUAAAAAGGUGUUUCUGUCGUGCUUUAACAUGACACAUCCUAUCUCGAGACUUCAAGCGGGUCAGCCUAUGGCUUCAACCUCCUAUCCCAAAGGAGAAGUACUUCUCGUUAGGCCAGUUUAGCAAACUUUAGCGGCUUUGAGAGAGAAAUUAGGCGCCCCGGCUAUUGACCGCACACCCGCGUCGAAAAAAGGAGUGAUAGAAAAAAGACUUUGCAACGACUAAGAAGAAGAACACUUAUUAUAAAACAGCUCACAUAAAUUUAAGAGCUCCCGAGUGACUUGGGUAAAAGAAUGAUUGUAUGUACCGAAGUACUUAUAUCAUAUCUAUGUUCACCCGAAGUUUAAACGCGUCUUAACUGACCGUUGGCUUCUCCCUCUUUGGUCAAGGACCGAAAAGUGUUAUGUACUCCACCUGUCGAGAAUAUCGACGGUGUUUCCGAUAACCAGGCAAUCAGGUCAUAAGGCUAUACCAGACAAAGCGCGCUUAGGGAACUUAUGCUAUAUUACUGAUAAAGUGUAAGAAGCAUCUUCGAAGAAAAUAGUACCCCCACCGAUACCGUGCUCAUUGUUAAUAUGAGACUUGUGCAAUAGAUUUUUUGUACUCAUGAGUUCCGUUGUGUGCCGACCAUAAUUGAAAACAGUAAGAGCGCUAGCUUUCGGCUUCACCCAGUCUAAGGUCCGGCUCGGGUGACCCGAUCGUGACAAUCACAGAGGUGCUCCCUUUACUCCCUAGCCGAACAAUCGGAAACGUAGGGGUAAACAUAGGAGCAAGGCAACCCAGCUUGCAAAUCUCUUAAGUCAAUAUGGUGCAUAUCGUGGCGUAAUACACGAACAAGGAACGAAGCCGUACAAGUAUAAUCAUAUGCAAGAGGAAAGGCUUCAUGAAAGAAGCCCCCAAGUGAACUGGGUAUUUGAAAUUGUCCAUCACAAACAAAGUUUGGACAAGGAAAUCUUUUACAAGCAACUUUUUUCCAAAAAAGCAUAAUGCUUGAUCGAACCGAACACCAGUUAAAAAUUUAAAACUUUGAGCAUGAAGGCAACUUAGCUGGUUAAUGUGUUCGGUAUUGAUGACGCGGUCCGGGCUUGAUGUGGGACAAGGUUCCAUCCCCCAAGCCGGUCCCGAGGUGGCGGAGCAAAGAGCUCAGCACUCCGAAGUGGUGACAUAGCAUGGUCAAUGCAGGCCGGUAGAGUGAUGCCGAAGUCCCCGGCAUGGGGUAAUGAAGUGUUGAUGAAGCCCCCCGUCCAGCCGAGGUGACGCCAAAGGAUAUAGUCCGGCUGGAUCAUUUUCCUAUGCACAAAAAAAUAGUGCAAGCUAGGGGUAAUAGUAAUAAUAAUAAAAAAUGUUGCAUAAUAAAUAAUUUAUGCAAAGUGAGUAAUAUGGCCUGGCGCCGAAGUCAAUGUCGAUGCGGGGCGUCGGCGUGAUGCAGUAAAGGCGUGGCAAAGCCUGAAUUCAUAGGUCGGUCCGAGUUCUGGAUGCGGCGUUCGCCAGACUAUGUAUGGAAACUGACCGAACCACCAUGCGAACAUCGAUAAUGCGGUCACCAUUUGGUAGACCUAUGUACAUAUGAUGGACAAACCAGAGUAAUAAUUCCUUGGGAAAAAUGAACCCAAACAAGCAAAAAAUACUAGGAUUAAUAGCACAUGGUUUAUUUGUUGUAGCAAUCCGAAGGAAGGUGAUUCCCAAAAUUGGGACUCGAUCCGCACACCCAUUGCCUGAUGGGCGAUAAAGCGACGGCGUGGCGAUGCUGGCAAAGGUUGGCUUGCCGAGGCAAAGCCCUCGGUCCAACUAACGUGAUGGAGCUGGUAGGCUAGUGACGCUGAAGUCUCCGGAGUAGGUUGAUGAAGAGAUGUCGAAGCCCCUGGUCCAGCCAAGAUGUCGAGGCCUCGAUGCCAGCCGAUGAGUCGAAGUAGGUCGGCGUGAUGGACACCGGCUUGAAGAAGCAACAAUGCGGCCCUGCCGAUGCAGGUCGUGACGUGGUCAAUGCCGGCUUGAUGAAGUGUCCAUGCGGCGACGUCGGUGUUCCCGCCCCGUGUAAUCCGUGGGGUGGUGAUGUUGGUGAUGAUUUAUCCUUCACGAUGCCGAACUCUUGUUCGGCUUGCCGAGAUGAUGAUCCGAAGGGGUUGAGCUCGGCUCAACAAAGUGACGACGUGUUUAGCGCAGGUCGGCGGCCGUGGAGCAAUAUUGCCGGACUGGUUUGACACCAGCAUGAUGUUGAAGACCAUGUAUAUGUCAUACGACGAGGUGGCCUUCCAGUGCCCUAUAGGCGCUGGUUCUUAGUCGUCUCCUACAUUGGCGUCCAUACCAUCGAUGUCUUCGGACUCGAAGUUGAGCAUGUCGGUUAAAUCAUCGACAGUGGCUAUGAAGUGGGUGGUGGGUGGGCUUUGAAUUUCUUCGUCGUCCGCAUCCCAACCUUGCUGACCAUAGUCCGGCCAGGGCUCUCCUGAUAAAGAGAGAGACUUUAGUGAAUUUAGAAUGUCACCGAAGGGCGAGUGCUGAAAGAUGUCCACGGCGGUGAACUCCAUGAUCGGCGCCCAAUCGGAUUCGAUUGGCAGGGGCGCGGAGGGUUCGGAGUCCGGAGAGGAGUCCGGCACCUUGGAGUCACGGGCUUCGCAGAGGACAAGGCUGGUGUUCGGCUCGAUCGCCGUAGAGAUUGGAGCCCUCGAGGCGGUGUCCAGCCACCUGUCCUCAAUCGGCGUAGUCGGCUCCGAGCUAAGGGUCGGAGCGGACAUGGGUGCGGCCUCCAGGGCACUGUUCGGCGGCAGAGAUAGAUCAUGCCCAUCAUAAUAGUGCAGCGCGCUCGGCUGCGGCCCGAACUCGUCGAAGAUCAAGUCUCCGCGGACGUCAGCUGUGUAGUUCAAACUUCCAAAUCUGACCUGAUGGCCAGGGGCGUAGCUUUCGAUCUGCUCCAGAUGGCCAAGCGAAUUGGCCCGCAGUGCAAAGCCGCCGAAUACAAAGAUCUGUCCGGGGAGAAAAGUCUCUCCCUGGACCGCAUCGUUGUUGAUGAUCGGAGGAGCCAUCGGGCCUAAAGGUGACGACACAGAGGAACUCUCAAUGAAAGCACCAAUGUCGGUGUCAAAACCGGCGGAUCUCGCGUAGGGGGUCCCGAACUGUGCGUCUAGGCGGAUGGUAACAGGAGACAAGGGACAUGAUGUUUUUACCCAGGUUCGGGCCCUCUCGAUGGAGGUAAAACCCUACUCCUGCUUGAUUAAUAUUGAUGAUAUGGGUAGUAAAAGAGUAGAUCUACCACGAGAUAAGAGAGGCUAAACCCUAGAAGCUAGCCUAUGGUAUGAUUGUUGUUCCUCUGAUCUAUCGACUAGCCUGGCCCUGGUUUAUAUAAUGCACCAGAGGCCUAGGAUAACAAAGAGUACUAGCUGAAUACGCCGGUGGGGGAGGAGUCCUUGUCUUGAUCGCCAAGUCUUGUGGAAUCUUCCUUGUAUGCGGCAACUGUCCGGACUGGCCCAUGAGUAUACGGCCAUGGGGAUCCUCGGCCCAAUCCAACUGAUCGGGAGACGACAUGGUGAGUACCCCCUAGUCUAGGACACCGUCACUAGGGUUUAAGCUUCUGUCACUCUAGCAACCCAUCAUCUACUUAUUACUUCCCAAUGCCUUCCACUAGGCCCAAAUAAUGGUGAAGUGUUAUGUAGUCAACGUUCACAUAACACCACUAGAGGCUAGACAACAUACAUCUCAUCAAAAUAUCGAAGGAAUACCAAAUUCACAUGACUACUAAUAGCAAGACUUCUCCCUUGUCCUCAGGAACAAACGUAACUACUCACAAAGCAUAUUCAUGUUCAUAAUCAGAGGGGUAAUAAUAUGCAUUAAGGAUCUGAACAUAUGAUCUUCCACCAAGUAAACCAACUAACAUCAACUACAAGGAGUAAUCAACACUACUAGCAACCUACUAGCACCAAUCCCGGACUUGGAGACAAGAAUUGGAUACAAGAGAUGAACUAGGGUUUGGAGAUGAGAUAGUGCUGAUGAAGAUGUUGAUGGAGAUUGCCCUCUCCCGAUGAGAGGAGCAUUGGUGAUGAUGAUGACGAUGAUUUCCCCCUCCCGGAGGGAAGUGUCCCCGGCAGAACAGCUCUGCCGGAGCCCUAGAUUGGUUCCGCCAAGGUUUCGCCUCGUGGCGGCUGAGUCUCGUCCCGAAAAGUUGCUUCCUAUUUUUUUCUUGACGAAAGACUUCAUAUAGGAGAAGAUGGGCGUCGGUGAAAGUGAGUUAUAUCGACUAGAGGGGGGUGAAUAGGCGAUCUUUAUGAAUUCUUUACUGAGGAAUUUGCCGGUGAGGAAAUUUCUUAGCGAAGAACUACUUGCAGCGGAAUAAGUACUCAGAAGUAAGCAUAACAGGGUACAGGCAUGGUCAUCAUGAUGAAAUGAAGACAAGCACAGAGUACAGAAAGCGUAAUCACAGGAUAACACAAGAUGAAGACAAACAGACUGAAGAAAUUGAACUGAGGAAAUUGAGAAAGUCUUCAGCCAAAGUCUUGAAACACAGAUAUGAACAAUCACUCAACACAGUAAUGAGGAAAUGAAAGAGUUGAGGAAAUAGAACCAGUAAGGUUGGUGAAGACAAUGAUUUGGUAGACCAGUUCCAACUGCUGUCUCAGUUGUACGUCUGGUUGGAGCGGCUGAGUAUUUAAACUCGAGGACACACAGUCCCGGACACCCAGUCGCUGAGCACGCAGCUCAGGACACCAAGUCCUCACCGUAUUCUCCUUGAACUAAGGUCACACAGACCUCGUCCAAUCACUCGUGGUAAGUCUUCAGGCGACUUCCAAACCUUCACAGACUCGGUCACUCGGUGAUCCACAAUUCCUCUUGGAUGCUCUAGACCAUGACGCCUAACCGUCUGGAAGAAGCACAAUCUUCAAAGGUAACAAGCGCCGGAUCCACGCAGGAUCAAUCUCUUCAGUGAUGCUUAAUCACUUUGGGUUUGUAGGUGUUUGGGUUUGGGUUUUCCUCACUUGAUGAUUUUCACUCGAAGUCCUCGGAGGAUGGGUUGCUCUCAAAUGAUAGGUGUCAAGUUCUCUCGGAGCAGCCAACCAGCUAGUGGUUGUAGGGGGCGGCUAUUUAUAGCCUAGUGAGCAGCCUGACAUGAUAAGACAUAAAUGCCCUUCAACGAUAUGACCGUUAGGUGGAUAAGAUAUUUUGGGAUAGCUGGCGCGCAGCACAACAACGGUCGGAAAUUUGACUCUCAAAUUCCUCAGGGCUAUCAUGUUCCUCACUGUGUAGGCAAUCCGCACUGGCGAAUUCCUAACUCCUCAGUAAGAACAAAUUCCUCAGCGACCAGAAGAACUUCGUCUCUGUCACUGAAGAAAUUGACUGAACUGUAUGAGAUUUCCAAUGGCUUCACUCGAAGGGAUUGGUAGGUGUAGGAUUUUGAGUUGAGCAUCACAUGGAACUUUUUCCUUAGUAUUUCCUCGACCCCCUUUAAUAGUACGGUGUUUCCUAUGACUCAAGAAAGAGAAAACGAAACUACAAAAACAAAAGUCUUCACGCUUCAUGUUCCUCAAAUGAAUACCAAGUCUUCAAGGUCACACCAAUUUCUUCACUUUCAGAGUCUUCAGAAUACCAAAGUCUUCAGUCGAAGAACUUCAUUUUUAGGGGUCGACUUUCUCUGUAAAUAUCAAAUUCCUCAUAGACUUAUAGACCUGUGUACACUCAUAAACACAUUAGUCCCUUAACCUAUAAGUCUUCAAUACACCAAAAUCACUAAGGGGCACUAGAUGCACUUACAAUCUCCCCCUUUUUGGUGAUUGAUGACAAUAUAGGUUAAGUUUGAAACGGGGUUAAACAUAUGAUGCGUAAAUACUGAUAUUGAGGAAUUUGAUUGCAAGAUAUAGAAGAACUCCCCCUGAAGAUGUGCAUAGUGAGGAAUUUGCUUUUGAGGCAAUGCACAUUUGAAGAGUUGAAUCAUGGAGAUCUCCUCCUAUAUCUUGUAAUUUAUACACGCAUUUGACAUAUAGUAUGAAGAAUUUGAAAUGCAUGAUGGAAUACGGUGACUGAUGUAAUUCAGCAUGCGUGCAAUAAUUUUAAUGAGGAAUAAGCAUGCAGAAGAACACAUCAAAAGUAUCAGAGCACCAUUGGGUUUAAGAUUACAACUCGAUCCAAUAAAGUUUCAGAAGAGCGAGAGUUGUAACUUAGCAAAAAAACGCCCAUAUAAUAGACUCGCUUGAAGACUAACUCAAAUUUCUCCCCCUUUGUCAUCGAAUGACCAAAAGGAUCGAAACUGAGGACUAACGCCCCUGAAGAAUAUCAAGUUGAUGGAGGAGCACCAGCGUUGUCGGGGUCGGUUGUCGUAGUAGGGCCUGCCACAGUGUCGUCCAAGUCUUCAUUUUUAUCAGUGUCGCGCGAUGAAGAAUAAGAGCUGGCCACCAAGGAAGGAACCUUGACCUUCUUGUAUUUCUUCGGAGGAGGUGCAGACCAGUCAAAUUUCUCCUUCAUACCCAUUUUCUUUAGAUCUUCUUCGCUGUAGACAUGAGACAGAACAGCCCAUGUACGGUUGAAGGUUUCAUGGAGGUAGUAUUGGUUUUUCUUCACUGCAUUAUGUGUUGAGGUCAUGUUGUGAAGAAUUGAACCAAACUGAUGCUUGACCCAUUUAUGAUUGCGAUCAACUUUCUGAUGAAGACUAAGGAGUAACUCACGAUCAGUCAUCACCCUGGGUGCUGUGGCUUGAGAAUUUUGCUUGGCAGAGUUGUUGGCGGCAGAGUCAUGUGUGGCAGAGUCAUCAUUUGUGGAGUAGGAUGCAGCCUUGCGAAAUUGACCAUCCAAUGGACGAAUGCCUUCAUCUAUCACAGCAGUUGCCUUGCCUUUGUCAUCAACUGAGGAAAAUGGCCGUUUGAGGACUUCAAUUGGAGGCAAGUAACUGCAGUGGUUCAGAGUAUCAGCCUUGUAAUUGAGUGAAGACCUUGUCCUGAUGAACCUCAUGAUCCAUGGUGCAUAAGGCUUUAGCUCAAAUGGUGACAUAGCAAUAUUCUCCAGAGUCCUCAUGAAGAAAUCAUGGAAGUUGACGGGAACGCCAUGAAUGAUAUUGAAAAGGAUAUUCUUCAUGAUGCCAACGACUUCUUCAUCAUUUGAGUCGUGGCCUUUGAUAGGACUCAUUGUCUUCGUCAGAAUGUGAUAGACAGUCUGAGGCACAUACAGUAAUUCCUUGACGAGGAAUUUGGUUCGAGGGGCCUGCCCUGGCUUCAAAGGCUUCAUCAGCACUUGCAUGUAAUGAUUUGUAAGCUCAGGUUCAUUGUAGACGCAACGAGCACCUUCAAGGGAAGGACUGAGUGGGAGGGCACGAAGCAAUUCAGUUGUUGGUGCCUUGUAAUGAGCAUUUUUUGACAUCCAGUCCAGGACCCAAGAGUUCACAUCUUCAGAAUUUCCUGUGAUGUGUAGCGUCACAUAGAAUUGAAGAAUGAGUUCUUCAUUCCAAUCACAUAUGUCAGUGCAGAAAUUUAGCAAUCCAGCAUCGUGAAGAACACUGAGGACUGGCUCGAAGCCUGGCAGAGAUUCCAUGUCCACGUGAGGAAUGUGUGCAUGAUCGAAGACUUUGUCUUUGUUGAAUAGCACUAAGGAAUAGAAAUUGGCUUGACUAGCAGUCCAGAAACGCCUCUUCCUUAUGCGAGUAGAGUCAUAUGGGUUGUAGUCAGUGAAGAAUACAUGCUCGCUAAAGAAAUCUUCAGCCUUAAACUUUUGCUUGUGUGAGAAUGGAUCCUUUGGCUUUGGCAGUGGAGUGUCAAUGAGUUGCAUCACGACCUCAGGAAUUGCAAUCUCAGGUUCUUCAUGCUGAGGAAUUUCUGGUUCCUCUUCAGUUGCAGUGUGCGUUGUCAUAUGAUCAGCAGCAGCAGGUUCUUCAGCACUAGUGGCUGGAAUUUCUUCAUGCACAGACGAGGUGGGAUGAGUUUCUUCAGAGCCCAUUUGAACGGUUGGUGCAGGGGACUGAGGUAUUUGUUGUAGUGGGGUGAAGAGUGGAGAAUCGAGGUGCUGACUUUCCCAAAAGUCAUCGUUCAUCACUGGCGUUGUACUUCCAAUAUCCAUGUCUUCAUCUUCAAUUUCUUCAACACCAGCCUCUUCAGCUGUGAACUGAGGCAUUGGUGAGGAUACAACAGGUGUAGAAGGGAUCGCAUCCACUUCAAUUUCUUUAUCAAUCUGCUCUGACGAAGUAGCAGAAUGAUUUUCUUCAUCAGAUCCGCUAGGGAUCAUAUAUUCUUCACCAAAAGGAACAAGGUCCUUUGAUGGUAUGGUGGAGAUCGGAACAGCAUCAAUAGGGUUUUCAAACGAGCUGGUCAUAGGCUUCAUUCUCUUCGGAGCUGAAGAAUCUGAAGCAGCUGAUGCUUUCCUUUUCUUCACUGCAGCUCGCUCUGCAGCCUUGGUCUUCUUCACAUCUGAUGCAGAUGGAAGGAUAGGAGUUGGUGUAGGCGCAGGAGGAGCUGAGGAAUCUGGUUGAUUUGCUUCAGGCGCAACUGAUGCAGUUGCCCUGACUUCUUCAUGUUCUUCAGGCGCACCACUAGUGGAUGCCCUGGCAAUUCCUUCAGCGGCUGGAAUGGAGUCAUCAGCCCUGGAACUAGCAUUUUCUUCAGCAGUCUGAAGGUCAUCAGCGGUGCUAGCAUGUUCUUCAGUAGGCUGAGCAGAAGCUUUAGCCUGAGGAACUUCUUGUUGCGUUGGAGCUGCAACAUUGGUGAACUUCUCAGUCAGUUUAACAAACUUGACUUUGGCUCCUUGCCAAUCAGCAUAGUAGGCGUUGAAGUUGUCGCUGAGGGCUUUGAUUUCAGACUGAAUUUUGAUGAGUUCAUCAGUUGUCAUUUUGACAAUGUUUUUCCUCAGGAACUUCUCUUUCCUGAACUGAGCCUUCUUGAUCUGUCUGGACUUCUCAAAUUUCCAUUUCUCUUCAGAGAUGAAAUGGGUCAGCAUGUGACUUUGGCCAGGAGUCAAAUGAAAAUCAGGCAUAGGGGUGUCUGGAUCCUUGUGCCAGAGAUCAAUGUAAUCGAGGAUCAUCUUAGGAUCCAAAAGCAGUGGCACAGGUGUGCCUUUGGCUCUAGCAACCCUUUCUUGUCUGUCUCUGAUGAUUUCUGCAAGUUCAUCAUCAUCAGCUUCAUCGUCAGAUGGCACUUGGAAGGCAACUUGUUUCUUCUUCGGACUUGGCCGAGGACCUCGUCCAACCGUUGCCUUUGUCUUCAGCAGAGUGGGGCCAGAUGAAGAAUUUGGUGUGGCAGAGGAACUCGCUGAGACACCAGAGGCAAUAGAGAUGCAUGCAGUCCUUUGGCACGUGGCCAGAUGCACAGGUGCUGAGGACUUUGCCAGAGCAGCUGAGGACGUCGGAGGAGGAGCUGAGGAUUUUGGAGGAGCAGGAGAAGCAUGAGGAACUGGCCGUGAGGGCUUUGAAGAUUCUGGCCGUGAGGGCAUUGCUGAGGAACUUGGCCGUGAGGGCACAGUUGGUGAAGCACUUGGCUUGUGUGCGGGCUUCUUUGUCAUUGAUUUCCUAGGCUUGACAGAGGCCUCAGUGGCAGCAGCAGCAGCAGAGUCUUCAUUGAAUUUCCUCACUGCUUCUUUGGCUUGUCUUGCCAACUUGGCUUGGCGCUUGGCCCAUUCUUCAAGAAAAUCCUCACCACGCUUGAUGCUGGUGGGGUCAGCUUCUUGGCCAGGUGCCAAUGGAGCUCUUGGGCAUGGAGGAUUAAGUGCAAAUUUCUUCAUAUACUUUGGAGUUACAUACCUGUACUCCCUCCAUUCUCUUGCCCAUCUCCUUUCAAUCCUCUGUAUGCACACCUUGCGCUGAUUUUUGUUCACCUUUCCGAAAUUGGCCUCAUCAGGUGUGCAAUAGUCAGCAUAGAUGUCCUUAGGUAUUUCAAAAGCAGACAUGACCUCAGGCUUCUUUCCUCCUUUCUAUGGCUUCUUACCGUCUGCCAUAUUCUUCAGUUGAGGAAUUUGAACAAUCGAAUUCUCUGAAGAAGUGUGCAACUUUUCUUCGAGGAACGCUGCAAAUGAGUUAAGUUGAUGAGAACCUAGUGAUUCAGCAGCGGACAUGAGUACCUGUGAACAGAGUAUAGUUGCGAGGAAUUUGGAGAGGUCAUAUGCGUUCUCAGAAGGUUUUUCAAAAAAGAACAAGUUUGAGGAAUUUGACCAGAUGAGCCUUGAAGAAUUUCACUAAGCGUUCUUUGUCUUAGGUUCCAGAGUUGUAUAGAUCGAGGAUCCACACAAUUGAGGAAUCUUGAAGAAAAAAGAUGCUUAGAGAAACGAAUCAAGAACAGAUGACUAGUGAGGUGUUUUGUGUGUGAGGAUUUGAAGAAUCAAAGAGGGAAGUAAAAGUAACUUUUAAUUACCCUGGAUGAAGAACACGACGAACUGAGAAGUGUAGAUUUGAAGCUUGUCAGUUCAGAUCUUCCACGCCCUAACUCGGCGGAGGAAGACGGCUACGGCGGCGGCAGAGUGAAGAUUUCCGCGGCCGGCGCGAGUACGACGGCGACGAGGUCGAGGCAGUGAAGCUCUUCCUCACCGGCGACGAUGGAGUAGCGGCGGCGCUAGGGUUUGAGAAGCUAGAGCGAGAGAGAGAGAGCGGUCGAGCGGAGUAAAGGAUGUGAGGAAGGGGAGAGGGGGUAUUUAUAGUCGCAGUGAAAAACUGUUCGCCCAAAGAUUUAGGACGAACGUGCCCCUGACCCUUCUCAUUAGCUUGACAUGUGUCACCCACGUACUGAAAAGUGGAGAUCGUGUUAGAUCGUGGGUGAAUAGAUAAGUCUAUCGUAGGAAGCGGAACGGUUUGAGCGGCAAAGCCAAAAAUUUGGAUAAGAUUAGUUUUAAAGUUCCGUUCACAAUUUCUUCAGCUGACAAGGACACAAUGAAGAUUUUGAACGAGUUUCAAAUAGAACACACAUGAAGAAUUUGUGAAUAGAUUGGGUUUAGUAUAGCAUAGAGGGGGAAGGGUCUGAUCACAUUCACUUAGCAGAAAAUGCAACUUGAAGAAAUAGCCAUAAGUGAAUGCUGUAGAGGACAUAAACCCAUACAUAUAUAUAUAUAGCCAGUGAAGAAAAACGACGGAAACGGUGAAGAUUUUGCAAAGUUGAAGAAUUUGAAAAACUGAAGAAUUUCAAAACUGAGGAAAAACUCAAAUUGAAGAUUUUCAACUUUGGUGGUGGCAUGACCCACCGUAUAAGAAUGAUGAUUUCAGACACCGCGUACAAUUGUCAUAGGGUUCUGAGAAUCAAAUUCUUCAUUAAUUUCUUCACACUUAGAGUGUUGUUCUUCAUUGAUUGAAGAAAAACAUUUCUUCAUGUGUUGCACAUCUAAGUCAUCAAUUUUGCAUAAGUGUUAGGAUGAGUGUCCUUUUCAAAGAACAUUUGAAGAUUCUAAGAUAUUUAGCUCACACCGCAACUUGCUAAAUCUCUUCUCAUCCAAGGGCUUUGUCAAGAUAUCGGCUAGCUGGUCUUCAGUCUUCACAUGCUCAAUAGAAAUAUCGCCCUUCAACACAUGAUCGCGAAGAAAAUGAUGACGAAUCUGAAUGUGCUUUGUCUUCGAGUGCUGAACUGGGUUGUGAGCAAUCUUGAUGGCACUCUCAUUAUCACAAAGGAGAGGCACAUUAUUCACGUUGACGCCGUAGUCCUUGAGAGUUUGCUUCAUCCAUAGCAGUUGAGCACAGCAAGAACCAGCAGCAAUGUACUCAGCUUCAGCAGUAGACAGUGAUACACAGUUCUGUUUCUUCGAGGACCAACAGACCAUCAUCCGAGGAAAUGACAAGUACCAGAUGUUGACUUGCGGUCCACACGAUCACCAGCAUAGUCAGAGUCAGAAUAUCCAAUGAGAUCAAAAGCAGAGCCCUUGGGGUACCAUAAUCCUAGUGUUGGUGUGUGAGCUAGAUAUCGAAGAAUAUGCUUCACAGCCUUAUGGUGUGAUUCCUUCGGUGUAGCUUGAAAUCGGGCACACAUGCAAACACUAAGCAUUAUAUCUGGCCUAGAUGCACAUAAGUACAAUAAAGAACGAAUCAUGGAGCGGUAUACCUUUUGAUCAAAGUCAAUACCAUUUUCAUUAGUGCAUAGAUGGCCAUUUGUGGGCAUAGGAUUUUUGACGCCUUUGCAAUCUUGCAUGCCGAAUUUCCUCAGAACAUCCUUGAGGUAUUUCUCCUGAGAUAUGAGUAUGCCAUUGCGCUAUUGACGAAUUUGAAGACCUAAGAAGAAUUUCAACUCUCCCAUCAUAGACAUUUGAUAUUCUUCACUCAUCAUAUAGGCAAAUUCAUCACUAUAACGUUGGUCAGUACAGCCAAAGAUAAUAUCAUCAACGUAUAUUUGGCACACAAACAGUUCACCAUCAUAAGAUUUAGUAAAGAGAGUAGGGUCAAGUGAACCGGGUGUGAAGCCAUUCUUCAUGAGGAAUUCCUUCAAAGUAUCAUACCACGCCCAAGGGGCCUGCUUGAGGCCAUAGAGGGCCUUGUUGAGUCUGAAGACUUUGUCAGGAUUCUUUGGAUCUUCAAAACCUGGGGGUUGAGCAACAUAUACUUCUUCCUCAAGCUUACCAUUGAGGAAUGCACUUUUCACAUCCAUUUGAUGUAAAGUGAUGUCAUGAUGGUUAGCAUAAGCAAGUAAUAUGCGAAUAGCCUCAAGUCUAGCAACAUGUGCAAAAGUUUCAUCGAAAUCAAUUCCUUCAACCUGUGUGUAGCCUUGAGCUACAAGUCGUGCCUUAUUCCUCACCACAAGGCCAUUUUCAUCUUGUUUGUUGCGGUAGAUCCACUUUGUGCCAAUGAUAUUAUGCUUGCGAGGAUCUGGAUGUUUGACCAGUUCCCAGACAUUGUUGAGCUCGAACUGAUGUAAUUCUUCUUGCAUGGCCUAAAUCCACUCAGGCUCCAGAAAUGCUUCAUCUACCUUAGUGGGCUCUGUGAUAGAGACAAAAGCAUAGUGCCCACAAAAGUUAGAUAAAUGUGAAGCUUUUGAGCGUGUGAGAGGACAUGGUGCUUCAAUGUCAUCGAUGAUCUUUUCAACUUGCACUUCUUUUGCAACGCAAGGAUGAGAUGGUUGUCGUCGAGGAAUUUGAUCAGCAUUUUCUUCAGCACCAUUUUCUUCAGCAUCGUCUUCAGGUGCAUCAGCUCGACAUUCUUCGUGUUCUGGAAUGAAUUCUUCAGCAGAUUCUUCAGUAGGAAUGACAUCCUCAGUCGCCUUGAACUUGAUAGAAUCCUCAGGUGCUGGUUCAUCUAUCACAGAAGGUAGGUGCUCUCUUUGCGAGCCAUUAGUUUCAUCGAACCGCACAUCUACAGUUUCAACAAUCUUGUAAAGAACAUUGUUGAAGACUCUGUAGGUGUGCGAGUCCUUUCCAUAACCAAGCAUAAAACCCUCAUGUGCUUUCGGUGCAAAUUUAGAAUUGUGAUGAGGAUCUCUAAUCCAACAUUUAGCACCAAAGACUUUGAAAUAACUCACAUUGGGUUUCUUGUCAGUGAGGAGUUCAUAGGCAGUCUUCUUGAAGAAUUUGUGAAGAUAUACUCUGUUGAUGAUGUGGCACGCGGUAUCAAUUGCAUCAAUCCAAAAACGACGAGGCGUUUUGUAUUCAUCAAGCAUAGUGUGAGCCAUUUCAACAAGAGUUUUGUUCUUGCGCUCCACGACGCCAUUUUGCUGAGGAGUAUAAGGAGCAGAUAACUCAUGAGUAAUACCAAGUUCAUCAAGAUAGUCAUCAAGACCGUAAUUCUUGAACUCAGUUCCAUUGUCACUCCUGAUGUGCUUGAUCUUCACACCAAAGUUGGUUGAAGCCCUCGAGGAAAAUCGUUUGAAGACUUCCUGCACUUCAUGUUUGUAAGUAACAAUGUGUACCCAUGUGUAACGAGAAUAAUCAUCAACAAUAACAAAGCCAUAUAGAGAUGCAUCAUUAGUGACUGCUGAGUAAUGAAUAGGACCAAAGAGGUCCAUGUGAAGCAAUUCGAAUGGUCGAGUAGUGGUCAUGAUAGUCUUUACUGGAUGCUUGGACUUGAUCAUUUUUCCAGCUUCACAGGCUCCACACAAGUGAUCCUUGAGGAAUUUGACAUUCUCAAUGCCAAUGACAUGCUUCUUCUUUGCAAGCGUGUGCAAAUUCCUCAUGCCUGUAUGACCAAGUUGUCGAUGCCAUAGCCAGCCUUCUGAAGCUUUUGCAAGUAGGCACACGGCUGGUUGUGGUCCUGUAGAGAAAUCAACAAUAUACAAGUCUCCUCUCCUAAAGCCUUCGAAGACUUUGGAAUGGUCAGCUUCCAUAACCACAACACAACGAUACUUGCCAAAGACAACAACCAUAUCAAGAUCACAAAGCAUUGAGACAGACAUGAGGUUGUAUCCUAAGGACUCAACAAGCAUGACUUUGUCCAUGUGUAUGUCCUUAGAGAUCGCAACCUUACCUAGACCCAAUACCUGACUUUUGCCUUUGUCAGCAAAGAUAAUAUGCUUCAGAUGUGAUGGAGAUAAGGGAGCAUCCAUCAAUAGAUUCUUGUCACCAGUCAUGUGAUUUGUACAUCCACUAUCGAGGACCCACUCAAAGGCUUUGGGUUGAUCAUCCUGCAGAUGAAUUAGUGCAGCUUACGAACUCAUAUACUUCAUUAGUGAAGAAUAUGAUAUCAAAUUCAUCAGAUGAAUUUCAUCAAGCAGUAAAACAGAUAUAGCAGUAUGAGGACGUGUGAAAUGAAAGUUCAUUUCUUCAUGAUUAGCCUGCAUCCUUUCAGGCAUUUUUUGUCAGGCCCCCAGCAAAUUCUUCAGACGUUAAAGCACGUUGGAGACCUGACCCUGCAGAAGAGAUUAGUUCUUUUUCUUCACCACCCACAUCUGAAGGGGUGGCAAAGAGUUCAUCACUCUACGAGCUCCAUAUGAGAAUGUGAAAGUGCAACUAUCCCUAGGUGGUUUUGGUAAUUCAUAACAACAUAUAGCUCAUUGAGCUAAUGCUAUUCCAAGAUGAAUAUUUUAGGAAAGCUCAAUGAUUGGCAUGGCUUGGAUGAUGAAAGUGGAUCCCUCAAAAUAUUAAGGACAAAGGAUUGGCUCAAGCUCAAAAGCUCAAGACUCUACAUUUUACAUUUUAGUGAUCCAAGAUCACAUUGAGUCGAUAGGAAAAUCCAAUACUAUCAAGGAGGGAUGAGGUGUUGCUUAAUGAGCCUCUUACUUCAUGUGCUUAGUGAUAUGCUCCAAAACCCUCCACUACUUUCUCACAUCCACAUAUGACCUAAACCUAAAGUCAAACUCGGCCCUACCAAUUCUUUCUAUCCGGCGCCACCGAGUUCAGAUGUCAUAGCCACUGCCACAAACCCUAGGCAAAUCGGUCUCACUGAUAGGGAUCUCGAUCUCACCGAGAUGGGAUUGUAAUCUCUCUGUUUCCCUUUGUAACGUUUCGGUCUAACCGAAGUGAGUGAUCGGUCCCACCGAGAUUACAAUGUAAACUCUCUGUUUCCCUUUCGUAACUUUUCGGUCUCACCGAAAGAGCGAAUCGGUCCCACCAAGUUUACCUGACCAACUCUCUGGUUAGCUUAUUACCAAAAUCGGUCUCAGCGAGUUUGUGUAAUCGGUCUCACCGAGAUUACGUUAUGCCCUAACCCUAACCAUACCGGUCCUACCGAGAUGCAUGUCAGUCCCACCAAAAAUCCUAAUGUUCACUAGGUUUACUAAAAUCGGUUCGACCGAGUUUGUUGAUUUGGUCCCACCGAGUUUGGUAAAUUGUGUGUAACGGUUAGAUUUUGUGUGGAGGCUAUAUAUACCCCUCCACCUCCUCUUCAUUCGUGGAGAGAGCCAUCAGAACAAACCUACACUUCCAACUUACCAGUUCUGAGAGAGAACCACCUACUCAUGUGUUGAGGCCAAGAUAUUCCAUUCCAACCAUAUGAAUCUUGAUCUCUAGCCUUCCCCGAGUUGUUUUCCACUCAAAUCUUCUUUCCACCAAAUCCAAAUCCUGUGAGAGAGAGUUGAGUGUUGGGGAGACUAUCAUUUGAAGCACAAGAGCAAGGAGUUCAUCAUCAACACACCAUUUAUUACUUCUUGGAGAGUGGUGUAUCCUAGAUUGGCUAGGUGUCACUUGGGAGCCUCCGACAAGAUUGUGGAGUUGAGCCAAGGAGUUUGUAAGGGCAAGGAGAUCGCCUACUUCAUGAAGAUCUACCGCUAGUGAUGCAAGUCCUUCGUGGGCGACGGCCAUGGUGGGAUAGACAAGGUUGCUUCUUCGUGGACCCUUCGUGGGUGGAGCCCUCCGUGGACUCGCGCAAUCGUUACCCUGCGUGGGUUGAAGUCUCCAUCAACGUGGAUGUACAAUAGCACCACCUAUCCGAACCACGACAAAUACAUCCGUGUCUCCAAUUGUGUUUGAAUCCUCCAAACCCUUCCCUUCACAUUCUUGCAAGUUGCAUGCUUUAUUUUCCGCUGCCACUAUACUCUUUGCAUGCUUGCUUGAAUUGUGUGAAGAUUGCCUGACUUGUUCAAAGAUAGCUAAAAUCUGCCAAAGUCCAAAAUUGGGAAAAUGUUAGGUUUUUAAUUGGUCAAGUAGUCUAAUCACCCCCCCCCCUCUAGACAUACUUCAAGGUCCUACAGAAUGGUGGCAUAGAAGCCAAUCCAUUUCGUUUCACACAAGAGGGGUUAGGGUAAGCAUAUGAAUAAGCAGAGAAAUUCUUUGAGGACUUAUGAACAUAAUGGUUUGAGGAAUAAUGCACAUAUUCAUAGCCCUUAGCUCUACCCUGCGAAACAGAGUUGUUAGCACGAUGAUAAUCAUAUGAGGACUUUGAUCCUUUUGAGGAAUUUGAUCUACGUGAGGAAUUUGGUCCGUAUGAGGACUUGGGUCCAUAUGAAGAAUUUGGUCCAUAUGAAGAAUUUGAUCUGGGGUUCCUAUUCUUCACAGGUGGUGUCAUGAGGACAUUCACCUGAAGACUUUCAAGGCACCUUUUGGGAACCUAGAUUUUCUUCAUAGGAGAACCGUUCCUGCAGUUAGUGCCAACAUAUCUAGCAAAUACUUCACCAUUCUGAUUUUUGAACAGUUUAUAGUUGGAGUCAAAUGACUCAUCAGAAGAAUGAGGAGAUUCACAUGUAAAGCCAGAUAAGUUAGAUGGAUCAACUGGAGGUCCCUUUGCAGCAACCCAUGAGAUUUUGGGGUACUACUCAGGCUUCCAGUAUGUACCAUCAGCAUUGAGUUUCCUCUCAAAGGCAAUACCCUCUUUCCUAGGGUUCCUGUUGAGGAUCUGCUUUUUAAGCACAUCACACAGAGUCUGAUGCCCUUUGAGGCUUUUGUACAUGCCUGUCAUAUACAAUUCCUUCAGCCCUGCAUUGUCAGUGAUACUAGCGAUGUCCUCAGAUGAGGAAUUAGUGAUAGCAGAUGCAGGUGAAGAAUUUGUAACAGUUGAAGCAUUUGAACAUUCAGGUGAAGAAUUAGCAGAUUCACGUUCAAUGCACUUUAAGCAUGGAGGAACAAAUUCUUCCUGAGAAGCGCUGAUUUGUUGAGCUAGCAAUGAAUCGCGCUCCUUCUGAAGAUCUUCAUAACUCACUCUUAGCUUCUCAAGAUCUUGCUUUCUUUGAAGAAAUUCAUAAGAAAGCUUCUCAUGAUCAGACAAGAGAGUGUUAUGAUGACCUCGAAGGCUGUCAAACCUAGACUGAAGUCUUUGAAGAUUUUCAGUGAGGGCUUUAGUGUGAUCCAUUUCUUCACCCAACAUAUCAUCACUUUUGUCUAGCAUGUUUUGAACCUUUUCAAAAGCCCUUUGUUGUUUUACAGCAAUCUUAGCAAGUUUAGAGUAGCUGGGCUUGAGGUCUUCAUCAGAUUCAUUCUCACUAGAUUCAGAGGAGGUAUAUUUGAGUACCUUGGCACCCUUUGCCAUGAAGUAAUAGGUGGGAGCGUAGUCAUCAUUAUCUUCAUCAGCCUUGUUGGUGAGGUCAGUUUCUUCAGAGUUGAAGAUAGACUUGCUGACGAAUGCAGUAGCGAGAGCCAGACUCGCCACACCAGACUCGGACUCCUCAGAUGCCUCCUCUUCCUCAUGUUCCUCAGAUUCAGCUUCAGAGUCCAUUUCCUUGCCAAUGAAUGCCCGAGACUUCUUGGAGCUGCUCUUCUUGUGAGAUGAAGACUUCAAGGAUUUUGAUGAUGAAGAUUUUGACGAUUUCUUCUUCUUCUUAGCGUCAUCAGAACUGUAAUCCUUGUAUUUCUUCUUCUUUAAUUCCUUUUCCCACUGAGGACAAUCUUGAAUAUAGUGACCAGGUUUCUUGCAUUUGUGGCAUAGCCUUCUCUUGUAGUCACUGGAUGAGGAAUCACUGCUCCUUGAGGAUUUUCCAAAGCGGCCACGUCUUGAGAAUUUUUGGAACUUUUUCACGAGCAGUGCUAGCUCCUGGCUCAAUUCUUCAGGAUCACCAAGGCUGCUACCAGAAUCUUCACAUUCAGAUUCAGACACUGCCUUGGCCUUCAGGGCACGUGAUCUGCCAUAGCUCGAACCAUAGAGAUCUCUCUUUUCAGCAAGCUGGAACUCAUGAGUAUUUAGCCUUUCGAGGAUAUCAGCGGGAUCAAGUGACUUGUAAUCAGCACGUUCUUGUAUCAUCAAUGCCAGAGUGUCAAAUGAGGAAUCAAGCGAUCUCAACAAUUUCUUCACCACCUCAUGGUCGGUGAUGUCAGUGGCACCAAGCGCUUGAAGCUCAUUUGAGAUGUCAGUGAGGCGAUCGAAGGUUUGUUGAACAUUUUCAUUGUCGAGUCUUUUGAAGCGGUUGAAGAGAUUGCGAAGAACAUCAACUCGAGAGUCACGCUGAGUUAAGACUCCUUCAUUUACUUUGGACAGCCUAUCCCAAAUAAGCUUAGCAGUUUCCAAAGCACUCACUCUUCCAUACUAUCCUUUGCUCAGAUGGCCACAUAUGAUAUUCUUCGCUUGAGAAUCGAGUUGCUUGAAUCUCUUCACAUCGGUAGCGUUCAGUGAGGGUGAGCCAGUGGGAACACCAUUUUCCACAACAUACCAGAGAUCGUUGUCAAUUGCCUCAAGAUGCAUUCGCAUCUUGUUCUUCCAGUAGGGGUAGUCCGUUCCAUCGAAGGUAGGACACCCAGCUGAGACCUUGAUCAUACCUGCGGUCGACAUAACUAAAACUCCAGGCGGUUAAACCAAAAUCACACAGAACAAGGGAGUACCUUGCUCUGAUACCAAUUGAAAGUGAGUUAUAUCGACUAGAGGGGGGUGAAUAGGCGAUUUUUAUGAAUUCUUUACUGAGGAAUUUGCCGGUGAGGAAAUUACUUAGCGAAGAACUACUUGCAGCCGAAUAAGUACUCAGAAGUAAGCAUAACAAAGUACAGGCAUGGUCAUCAUGAUGAAAUGAAGACAAGCACAGAGUACAGAGAGCGUAAUCACAGGAUAACACAAGAUGAAGACAAACAGACUGAAGAAAUUGAACUAAGGAAAUUGAGAAAGUCUUCAGUCAAAGUCUUCAAACACAGAUAUGAACAAUCACUCAACAUAGUAAUGAGGAAAUGAAAGAGUUGAGGAAAUAGAACCAGUAAGGUUGGUGAAGACAAUGAUUUGGUAGACCAGUUCCAACUGCUGUCUCAGUUGUACGUCUGGUUGGAGCGGCCGGGUAUUUAAACUCGAGGACACACAGUCCCAGACACCCAGUCGCUGAGCAUGCAGCUCAGGACACCAAGUACUCACCGUAUUCUCCUUGAACUAAGGUCACACAGACCUCAUCCAAUCACUCAUGGUAAGUCUUUAGGCGACUUCCAAACCUUCACAGACUCGGUCACUCGGCGAUCCACAAUUCCUCUUGGAUGCUCUAGACCAUGACGCCUAACCGUCUGGAAGAAGCACAGCCUUCAAAGGUAACAAGCGUCGGAUCCACGCAGGAUCAAUCUCUUCAGUGAUGCUCAAUCACUUUGGGUUUGUAGGUGUUUGGGUUUGGUUUUUCCUCACUUGAUGAUUUUCACUCAAAGUCCUCGGAGGAUGGGUUGCUCUCAAAUGACAAGUGUCAAGUUCUCUCAGAGCAGCCAACCAGCUAGUGGUUGUAGGGGGCGGCUAUUUAUAGCCUAGGGAGUAGCCUGACAUGAUAAGACAUAAAUGCCCUUCAAUGAUAUGACCGUUAGGUGGAUAAGAUAUUUUGGGACAGCUGGCGCGUAGCACAGCAACAGUCGGAAAUUUGACUCUCAAAUUCCUCAGGGCUAUCAUGUUCCUCACUGUGUAGGCAAUCCGCACUGGCGAAUUCCUAACUCCUCAGUCAGAAAAAAUUCCUCAGCGACCAGAAGAACUUCGUCUCUGUCACUGAAGAAAUUGACUGAACUGUAUGAGAUUUCCAAUGGCUUCACUCGAAGGGAUUGGUAGGUGUAGAAUUUUGAGUUGAGCAUCACAUGGAAAUUUUUCCUUAGUAUUUCCUCGACCCCCUUUAACAGUACGGUGUUUCCUAUGACUCAAGAAAGAGAAAACGAAACUACGAAAACAAAAGUCUUCACGCUUCAUGUUCCUCAAAUGAAUACCAUGUCUUCAAGGUCACACCAAUUUCUUCACUUUCAAAGUCUUCAGAAUACCAAAGUCUUCAGUCGAAGAACUUCAUUUUUAGGGGUCGACUUUCUCUAUAAAUAUCAAACUCCUCAUAGACUUAUAGACCUGUGUACACUCAUAAACACAUUAGUCCCUUAACCUAUAAGUCUUCAAUACACCAAAAUCACUAAGGGGCACUAGAUGCACUUACAGUCGGAGAGCCACCAGGGGGCCCACGAGGUAGGGGGCGCGCCCCCCACCCUCGUGAGCAGGGUGUGGGCCCCCUAGCCUUCAUCUUUGGCGACGAUUUUUCUUUAUUUAUUUUAAGAUAUUCCAUGGAGUUUCAGGACUUUUGGAGUUGCACAGAAUAGGUCUCCAAUAUUUGCUCCUUUUCCAGCCCAGAAUUCCAGCUGCCGGCAUUCUCCCUCUUCAUGUGAACCUUGUAAAAUAAGAGAGAAUAGCCAUAAGUAUUGUGACAUAACAUGAAAUAACAACCCAUAUUGCAAUAAAUAUCGAUAUAAAAGCAUGAUGCAAAAUGGACGUAUCAACUCCCCCAAGCUUAGACCUCGCUUGUCCUCAAGCGAAAAGCCGAUAACAAUAAAUAUGUCCUCAUGUUUAGGGGUAGAGGCGUCGAUAAAAAUAAAAUAUGAACAUGCAGGCAUCAUGAUUAUUCUCAUAACAGCAACAUAUAUAGAUUUUGUCAUAUGAUUACUUAUGUUCAAGUGAUGAUCUUUUCACAAUGCGAAAGUAUGAAUUAGAAACCUUAUUGAGCACCAACAAGUUAUAACCUCAGUCAUUGAAGCAAUCGCAAUUUAUCAUAACAUUGGAAAGAGUCUAUGUCAGAGCUUAAAAGCAAGUCCACAUAUUCAACUAUCAUUUAGUCCUUCAUAAUUGCUAACACUCACGCAAUACUUGUGGUUACGGAGUUUUAAUCAGACACAGAGAAAGAUAGGGGCUUAUAGUUUUGCCCCACAACCUUUUACCUCAAGGGUAAUGUCAACAAUAAUAACUCAUGCUCCCCUACAUCCAAUUAGAUAUGUAUAUCAUGUUCUUUCCAACAUGCUGAGCUUGCCAAAGGAUAAAAUGAAAAAGGAAAGGUGAAGAUCAGCGUGACUCUUGCAUAAGGUAGAGGAUAAUAAUAAAAGAUAGGCCCUUCGCAGAGGGAACCAGAGGUUGCCAUGCGCUUUUAUGGUUGGAUGCACAAAAUCUCAAUGCGAAAGAACGUCACUUUAUAUUGCCCCUUGUGAUAUGAACCUUUAUUAUGCAGUCCGUCGCUUUUAUUACUUUCAUAUCACAAGAUCGUAUAAAGCUUAUUUCUCCCACACCAAUCAAUCAUACAUAUUUAGAGCAAUUUUUAUUGCUUUGCACCGAUGACAACUUACUUGAAGGAUCUUACUCAAUCCAUAGGUAGAUAUAGUGGACUCUCAUGGCAAAACUGGUUUAAGGAUAUUUGGAAGCACAAGUAGUAUCUCUACUUGGUGCUGAGAAUUUGGCUAGCAUGAGGGGGAAAGGCAAGCUCAACCCGUUAGAGGAUCCACGACAACAUACUUUAUCUCAGAUGUAAGAAAACAUAACUCAUCAUGUUGUCUUCCUUGUCCAACCUCAACUCUUUAGCAUGUCAUAUUUUAAUGAGUGCUCCCAAUCAUAAAAGAUGUCAAUGAUAAUAUAUCUAUAUGUGAAACCUCUCUUUCCUUAUUACUUCCUAUUUAUUGCAACGAUGACCAAAGCUAUAUUUUCCAACUCCCAACAACUUUUAAUCAUCAUACUCUUUCUAUGUGAAGUCAUUACUUUCAAUAAGAUCAAUAUGAACUCUUUGAUUCUUUUUAUUCUUUUUCUUUUAUUCACCCAAGAUCAUGGCAAAAUAAUCAAGCCCUUGACUCAACACUAAUCUUUAUUAUAUAUAUAGCUCACGGACUCGAUUACAUAGAGGGAUCAUAAAGCAAAACUCAUAACUAGAUCAUGCCAUAAACUUUAUUCUACUAGAACAGGAUACUACUAAUGGGAUCAAACUAAGAAAAACGGUAAAGAUAGGAGUUGUGAUGGUGAUACGAUACCGGGGCACCUCCCCCAAGCUUGGCAGUUGCCAAGGGGAGUGCCCAUACCCAUGUGAUUAUAUCUCCUUCUUUGUUGUUGGUGUAAUAUUUUUGGCGAUGAUUCCCCUCAAGAUACGGUUCUCCUCCUCGAGCUUAUUGACUUGCUGCUUGAGGUCCAUUAUUUCCUUGCGAAGCUUUCCUGUAAUGGCUAAAGCUCCUUGCACCCAAGGGUGUUGCAUAGCUGCGGGAGAACAAGAGACACUCCUCCUCAUAUUCUCAUAAGAAAGAAAUCUAACAUUGGAAGGGAUAAUCGAGUUUGGAAUAGCUGAGCUCUGUAGUUCCCCCAUCGUAAACCCAGCUCGGAGGCGAGAGGUGACUUCUUGAUCUUCCAUGGCAUCUACCCUCAUCAGGUCAGCCUCCAUCUCUUCCUCUGUUGCUGGCCCAAAGUGGUCAGCGUCGCUGUUUGCCCUUGGUUCCGGUGCCUGGUUAGAUACCCGGCUCUCCCCGACUGACUCCUGAGAAGACAUCUUGCUCUAAUCUGCAGCAGCAACAGCUCGAAACAAAAACAGAGGAUAUUUGCGUGAUACGGGAGUCAAAACCUUCGGGAGAAUAUAUAAUGAAUUUUUACCGACCAAAACAUGUAUCAUGCAAGAAAACGGAGUCCGGAGGGUGCACGAGGUGCUCACGAGGUAGGGGGGCGCGCCCAGGGGGGUAGGGCGCGCCCACCACCCUCGUGUCCUUUCUGGACUGCCACUUAUUUUUCUAUUUUUCUAAAUAUUCCAAAACUGAGAAAUAUUGCCUUAAAAAUUGUUUUGGAGUCGGCUUACUUACCAUACCACAUACCUAUUCCUUUUCGGAGUCUGAAACGGUCGGGAAAGUGUCCCUUAUGUAUUCCCCCGGGGUUACGGUUUCAAUAAUAUUGGUUUCAACAUUUAUAGGAUUACCUGAAAUAUAGUGUUUGAUCCUUUGACCGUUUACCACCUUCGGAUUUGUGCCUUCGAAGUUGUUGAUUUUAUAGCACCGGAACGAUAGACCUCCUCGAUAACAUAGGGACCUUCCCAUUUAGAGAGAAGUUUUCCUGCAAAAAAUCUUAAACGAGAGUUGUAUAGCAAUACAUAAUCACCUACAUUAAACUCACGCUUUUGUAUCCUUUUGUCAUGCCAUCUCUUAACUUUUUCUUUAAACAACUUAGCAUUUUCAUAAGCUUGGGUUCUCCAUUCAUCGAGUGAGCUAAUAUCAAAUAACCUCUUUUCACCGGCAAGUUUGAAAUCAUAGUUGAGCUCUUUAAUAGCCCAAUAUGCCUUAUGUUCUAGUUCGAGAGGUAAGUGACAUGCUUUUCCAUAAACCAUUUUAUACGGAGACAUACCCAUAUGAUUCUUAUAUGCAGUUAUAUAGGCCCAUAAUGCAUCAUCAAGUUUCUUGGACCAAUUCUUCCUAGACCUAUUAAUAGUCUUUUGCAAAAUUAAUUUGAGCUCUCUAUUGCUCAAUUCUACUUGACCACUAGACUGCGGGUGAUAAGGGGAUGCAAUUCUAUGAUUAACAUCACAUUUAGCAAGCAUUUUAUGGAAAGCACCAUGAAUAAAGUGUGAACCACCAUCAGUCAUUAAAUAUCUAGGGACUCCAAACCUCGGAAAAAUAACUUCCUUAAGCAUUUUAAUAGAGGUGUUAUGAUCAGCACUACUAGUUGGAAUAGCUUCUACCCACUUAGUAACGUAAUCAACAGCAACCAAAAUAUGUGUAUAUCCAUUAGAGGCAGGAAAAGGUCCCAUAUAAUCAAAGCCCCAAACAUCAAAUGGUUCUAUAACAAGUGAAUAAUUCAUAGGCAUUUCAUGACGUCUACUAAUAUUACCAAUUCUUUGGCAUUCAUCACAAGACAAGACAAACUUACGGGCAUCCUUGAAAAGAGUAGGCCAAUAAAAACCGGAUUGCAAUACCUUAUGUGCAAUUCUAUCUCCAGCGUGGUGUCCUCCAUAAGCUACGGAGUGACACUUGCGUAGGAUUUGUUCAUGUUCAUGCUCAGGCACACAACGUCUAAUAACACCAUCUACUCCUUCUUUAUAAAGAUGUGGGUCAUCCCAAAAGUAAUGUCGCAAAUCAUAGAAAAACUUUUUCUUUUGCUGGUAUGUGAAGCUAGGUGGUAUAAAUAUAGCAACAAUAUAAUUAGCAUAAUCAGCAUACCAUGGAGUGCUAUGAGAAGUGCUUAUGACAUUUAAUUGUUCAUCAGGAAAGCUAUCAUCAAUAGGUAGUGGGUCAUCAAGAACAUUCUCUAACCUAGACAAGUUGUCUGCAACGGGGUUCUCAGCUUUUUUUUCUAUCAACAAUAUGUAAAUCAAAUUCUUGUAGCAAAAGAGAACCCAUCUAAUAAGUCUAGGCUUUGCAUCUUUCUUUUCCAUAAGAUAUUUAAUAGCAGCAUGAUCAGUGUGAAUAGUUACUUUAGAAUCAACAAUAUAGGGUCUGAAUUUAUCACAAGCAAAUACAACUGCUAAAAGUUCCUUUUCAGUAGUAGCAUAAUUUCUUUGAGCAUUGUCUAGAGUCUUACUAGCAUAAUGGAUAACAUUUAAUUUCUUAUCAACUCUUUGUCCUAGAAUAGCACCUACAGCAUAAUCACUAGCAUCACACAUAAUUUCAAAGGGUAAAUUCCAAUCAGGUGGCUGAACAACAGGUGCAGAGACUAAUGCUUUCUUAAGUAUUUCAAAUGCUUCUACACAAUCAUCAUCAAAGACAAAUGGUACAUCUUUUUGUAAUAAAUUAGUCAGAGGCCGAGAAAUUUUUGAGAAGUCCUUAAUGAACCUCCUAUAAAAUCCGGCGUGACCAAGGAAACUUCUUAUACCUUUGAUGUCCUUGGGACAUGGCAUCUUUUCAAUAGCAUCAACCUUGGCUUUAUCAACUUCAAUACCUCUUUCAGAAACUUUGUGCCCCAAGACAAUACCUUCAUUAACCAUAAAGUGGCACUUUUCCCAAUUCAAGACAAGAUUAGUUUCUUCACAUCUCUGCAAAACUCGAUCAAGAUUGCUCAAGAAAUCAUCAAAAGAGGAUCCAUAGACGGAAAAGUCGUCCACGAAAACCUCACAAAUCUUUUCACAAAAGUCGGAGAAUAUAGCCAUCAUGCAUCUUUGAAAGGUAGCAGGUGCAUUACAUAGACCAAAAGGCAUACGUCUAUAAGCAAAAGUACCAAAAGGGCAUGUAAAAGUAGUCUUUGAUUGAUCUUUAGCCGACACAGGUAUUUGAGAGAAACCAGAAUAACCAUCUAGAAAGCAAUAAUGUGUAUGUUUGCAUAAUCUUUCUAGCAUCUGAUCAAUAAAAGGUAAGGGGUAAUGAUCUUUCUUAGUAGCUUUAUUUAAUUUGCGGAAAUCAAUUACCAUCCUAUAACCUGUGAUAAUUCUUUGAGGGAUCAAUUCAUCUUUAUCAUUAGGGACAACAGUAAUACCUCCCUUCUUAGGGACACAAUGGACAGGACUUACCCACUGACUAUCAGCAACGGGAUAAAUUAUACCUGCCUCCAGAAGCUUGAGUAUUUCUUUUCUUACCACUUCUUUCAUUUUAGGAUUCAAACGUCGUUGAGGAUCACGAACUGGUUUGGCAUCCGCUUCCAAAUUUAUUUUAUGUUGACAUAGAGUGGGACUAAUGCCCUUAAGAUCAUCAAGAGUAUAUCCAAUAGCGGCACGGUGCUUCUUCAGAGUUUUCAAUAAUCUUUCUUCUUCAUGCUCUGAAAGGUUAGCACUAAUAAUAACAGGAUAUAUUUUCUUUUCAUCAAGAUAAGCAUAUUUAAGAUUAUCAGGCAAUGGUUUAAGCUCAAACACGGGAUCACCCUUGGGUGGAGGAGGAUCCCCUAGGAUUUCAACAGGCAAAUUGUGUUUCAGAAUAGGUUCCUGUUUAAAGAAUACUUCAUCUAUUUCCCUUCUUUCAUUCAUGAACAUAUCAUUUUCAUGGUCUAGCAAAUAGUGUUCUAAAGGAUCACUAGAAGGUACGACAAUAGAAGCAAGACCAAUAAUUUCAUCCUUACUAGGCAAUUCUUCUUCACGAUGUUGUUUACUAAAUUUAGAGAAAUUAAACUCAUGAACCAUAUCAUCCAAGCCAAUAGUAACAACAUUCUUUUUGCAGUCUAUCUUAGCAUUAACAGUAUUCAAGAAGGGUCUACCAAAUAUAAUGGGACAAAAGCUAUCUUGUGGAGAACUAAGAACAAGAAAAUCAGCAGGAUAUUUAGUUUUCCCACACAAGACUUCAACAUCUCUAACAAUUCCCAUUGCAGAUAUAGUAUCUCUAUUGGCAAGUUUAAUUGUAACAUCAAUAUCUUCUAACUCAGCAGGUGCAAUUUCAUGCUUGAUUUCCUUAUAUAAAUCAUAAGGUAUAACACUAGCACUAGCACCCAUAUCACAUAAGCCAUGAUAACAAUGAUCUCCUAUUUUAACAGAAAUAACAGGCACGCCUACCACAUGCAUAUGUUUAUCUUUAUCACACGGUUUAGCAAUUCUAGCAGUUUCACCGCAGAACUGAAUAACAUGCCCAUCAAUAUUAUCAGACAAGAGAUCCUUAACAAUAGCAAUAUUAGGUUCUACUUUGACUUGCUCAAGAGGUGUAUAAGUUCUAAUAUUGCUUUUAUGAACAACAGUUGAAGCUUUAGCAUGAUCCUUUAUUCUAACAGGGAAAGGUGGUUUCUCAACAUAAGAAGCAGGAACAAUAGGAUCAUUAUAAGUGACAGUCUUUUCUUCAACUUUAAUAGGUGCAGCUACUUUUACUUCUAUGGGAGGAUGAUAUUUAAACCACUUCUCCUUGGGGAGAUCAACAUAAGUAGCAAAAGAUUCACAGAAAGAAGCUACUAUCUCAGAGUCAAGUCCAUAUUUAGUGCUAAACUUACGGAAAAUAUCGGUAUCCAUAAAAGAUGUAACACAAUCAAACUUAGGUGUCAUACCUGACUCCUUACCUGCGUCGAGGUCCCAAUCUUCAGAGUUGCGUUUAAUUCUAUCCAAUAAAUUCCAUUUAAAUUCAAUAGUCUUCAUCAUAAAAGAGCCAACACAAGAAGUAUCGAGCAUGGUGUGAUUGUUUUCAGAAAGCCGAGCAUAAAAACUUUGAAUAAUUAUUUCUCUUGGGAGCUCAUGAUUGGGGCAUGAAUAUAAUAUUGAUUUAAGCCUCCCCCAAGAUUGAGCGAUGCUUUCUCCUUCGCGAGGCUAAAAAUUAUAUAUAUAAUUGCGACCACGAUGAACAAGAUGCAUAGGAUAAUAUUUUUGAUGAAAUUCCAAUUUCAAUCUUUUGUAGUUCCAUGAUCCCAUACCAUCACAUAGCCUAUACCAUGUCAAUGUGUCUCCCUUCAAAGAUAAAGGGAAGAUCUUCUUCUUGACAACAUCAUCGGGUAUACCUGCAAGCUUAAAUAAUCCACAAACCUCAUCCACAUAUAUUAAGUGUUCAUCAGGAUGCUUUCUUCCAUCUCCUACAAAAGUAUUAGCUAGCAGUUUUUCCAUCAUACCCGAAGGAACUUCAAAAGGAGUUUCAUUUUCAAUAGGUUCAGUAGGUUGGGGAGCAACUCUUUGCUCUACUGGACGGGGUGAAGAUACCCCGAACAAGCCCCUCAGAGAAUUACUUUCCAUAGUAACAAGUGACAGUAAAUUUCAGCACACUAUAUAAAUUUUUCCUUACCAAAUUCCACCUACCAAAGGCGCUACACUCCUCGGCAACGGCACCAGAAAAGAGUCUUGAUGACCCACAAGUAUAGGAGAUCUAUCGUAGUCCUUUCGAUAAGUAAGAGUGUCGAACCCAACGAGGAGCAGAAGGAAAUGAUAAGCGGUUUUCAGCAAGGUAUUCUCUGCAAGUACUGAAAUAAGUGGUAACAAAUAGUUUUGUGAUAAGAUAAAUUGUAACGAGCAACAAGUAACAAGAGUAAAUAAAGUGCAGCAAGGUGGCCCAAUCCUUUUUGUAGCAAAGGACAAGCCUGGACAAACUCUUAUAAUAGGAAAAGCGCUCCCGAGGACACAUGGGAAUAUCGUCAAGCUAGUUUUCAUAUGAUUCGCGUUUGGUACUUUGAUAAUUUGAUAUGUGGGUGGACCGGUGCUUGGGUGCUGUUCUUACUUGAACAAGAAUCCCACUUAUGAUUAACCUCUAUUGCAAGCAUCGGCAACUACAACAAAAGUAUUAAGGUAAACCUAACCAUAGCAUGAGACACAUGGAUCCAAAUCAGCCCCUUACGAAGCGACGCAUAAACUAGGGUUUAAACUUCUGUCACUCUAGCAACCCAUCAUCUACUUAUUACUUCCCAAUGCCUUCCUCUAGGCCCAAAUAAUGGUGAAGUGUUAUGUAGUCGACGUUCACAUAACACCACUAGAGGCUAGACAACAUACAUCUCAUCAAAAUAUCGAACGAAUACCAAAUUCACAUGACUACUAAUAGCAAGACUUCUCCCUUGUCCUCAGAAACAAACGUAACUACUCACAAAGCAUAUUCAUGUUCAUAAUCAGAGGGGUAAUAAUAUGCAUUAAGGAUCUGAACAUAUGAUCUUCCACCAAGUAAACCAACUAGCAUCAACUACAAGGAGUAAUCAACACUACUAGCAACCUACUAGCACCAAUCUCGGACAUGGAGACAAGAAUUGGAUACAAGAGAUGAACUAGGGUUUGGAGAUGAGAUGGUGUUGAUGAAGAUGUUGAUGGAGAUUGCCCUCUCCCAAUGAGAGGAGCGUUGGUGAUGAUGACGACGAUGAUUUCCCCCUCCUGAAGGGAAGUGUCCCCGGCAGAACAGCUCUGCCGGAGCCCUAGAUUGGUUCCGCCAAGGUUCUGCCUCGUGGCGGCGGAGUCUCGUCCCGAAAGGUUGCUUCCUGUUUUUUUCUUGAUGAAAGACUUCAUAUAGGAGAAGAUGGGCGUCGAAGAGCCACCAGGGGGCCCACGAGGUAGGGGGCGCGCCCCAGGGGGGGGGCACCCUCGUGAGCAGGGUGUGGGCCCCCUGGCCUUCAACUUUGGCGACAAUUUUUCUUUAUUUAUUUUAAGAUAUUCCGUGGAGUUUCAGGACUUUUGGAGUUGCACAGAAUAGGUCUCCAAUAUUUGCUCCUUUUCUAGCCCAGAAUUCCAGCUGCCGGCAUUCUCCCUCUUCAUGUAAACCUUGUAAAAUGAGAGAGAAUAGCCAUAAGUAUUGUGACAUAACGUGAAAUAACAACCCAUGAUGCAAUAAAUAUCGAUAUAAAAGCAUGAUGCAAAAUGGACGUAUCAAGGGGGCACCCGAGGUGGGCACAACCCACCUGGGCGCGCCUGCCUCCAGGCGCGCCCAGGUGGGUUGUGCUCCUCUCGGAGCAACCCCGAGAUGCUUUCCUGGCCCACUGGAUGCCUUCUGGCCCAAAAAAAUUCCUCAAGAAGUUUCGCUGCGUUUGGACUCCGUUUGAUAUUCAUUUCCUGAGAUGUAAAAAAACAUGCAGAAAACAGCAACUGGCACUGGGCACUAUGUCAAUAGGUUAGUACCAAAAAAUGAUAUAAAAUGACUAUAAAAUGAUUGUAAAACAUCCAACAAUAAUAAUAUAACAGCAUGGAACAAUCAAAAAUUAUAUAUACGUUGGAGACGUAUCAAGAAUCACUAGGGACACAAUAUUUGUUUAUGUAUCCACACAUGUAUUUAAGCUUCCGAUCAAUACAAUUCUAGCAUGAAUAAGAAACCUUUGUCAUGAAUAAGGAAUAUAAUAAUAACAACUUUAUUAUUGCCUCUAGGGCAUAUUUCCAUCAGACGGGCCAAGGCUCCCUAUGCCGGUUCCGCCCGGGUCAUCUUGUCAGCCCACUGGCCCUCUAGGAGACAGAAUUUGAAGCCUUUCCGUUCAAGAGAAAGAAGUCGGAUCCGUGGCGGACUCCUCUCCACCGACGUUGCCAACUAGGGCCCUUAUAACCCUAGGGCCCCCGAUAUCUUAUAUAAACCAGGUUUGGGCUAGUCGACAAAACAUUUUAGACAUUAUGUACACCCCAGUCGAAAUAUACACAAAGUAGGAGUAGGGUUUUACCUCCAUCAUGAGGACCUGAACCUUGGUAACUCGUUUCUUUCUCCUCCAUCAUAAGGAUACUCUCAGGUAGCAUGGAGGUGGAUGGCUGCUACUGAUCCAGGCAGAGGCAUGGUGGGGCGUGGCGCGGUCCAGUUUCAAGCGUGGCAAGCGGGCGGAUGCAUGCGAGUCCGGGCGUAACGAGAAGGUGCACAUGGUCCAGAUCCGCACGGUGCACGACAAGCUGGGGCUGGCCGGUGUAGUAGGGCGUGACCAGAAGGUAUUUGCGGCCCAGAUCCGCGUGGUGCGUGCUCCUACUGGCGUGUUGCUCACGAAUGUGCACUUUGCGACGUAAUGGAGGAGCUUGACGCAGGAUGCUAAGCGAGUGGUGCGAUGCACAGAUGGCUUGUUAGGGGGGUUUCUCGAGUCCUGGGACUUGGAGGGUGAUGCCGGCGAACGUUGUACUCUUACGAUGGCGCCUUCGAGCCCCUUUUCCUUGUUGGAGGUGUCAAGGUGGCAGUCCUCACUUUUCCUCCCCACGAGCUACGGUGGAAAACCUAGAUCUGUUUUACCGAAUUGGGUGAUGGCAGCGUUGUUAGCUUUGCUUGGUGUUGCGUGCAUUCUCUCUUGAUGGCAUCUUUUCGGAGGUGCCACUCGGAGGGACUUGUGGCUUGUGGAGUUGGCCGGUGACGGCUAGAGUGUUUUCGCCCGUGUUGCAUUGCUUUAUUUGAGGUGUUCAUGUAAUACCCGUUUCUAAUCAAUGUGUUUUUUUUCGCAGGGUUCUAAUCAAUGGUUUUUAUUUUAUUUUUCACUCUCUUUUAAUGCUCUUUUUUUUUUGCGGGAACUCUCUUUUCAUGCUCUGCAACGUGCAAUAUGUACAUGGGGCUGGAGCGUACGCCGUCCACACGCGGGAGGUCGUCGUCUGCCGUCCCGACCGUAUACGUUCUCGCCACGUCAUCGAUCCGCGCGAAAGCUCAUCAUGGUCGUCCAUCCCAAGCAUCACCGAACGGCCGGAACCACUCCACGCCAUCGAUCCGAGGCAUCAUCCUCUCCGCCAACCACAGCCCCUCCUCCCCGCUCCCUACAUAACCUCGCCGCCCCUAUCCGUCUUUGCACACCGCAGCAUCAGCAGCCCGCCUCACAUCCCACCCAAACCCAGCCUCCCCACACGCUCCAACCACCAGCACGCAUGGCACCCAAGGCGGCGGAGAAGAAGCCGGUGGUGGCCGCGGAGAAGACCCCGGCGGGGAAGAAGCCCAAGGCGGAGAAGCGGGCGCCGGCGUCCAAGGAGGCCGGCGGCGAGGGCAAGACGAGGGGCAGGAAGAAGGGCAGCAAGGCCAAGAAGGGCGUGGAGACGUACAAGAUUUACAUCUUCAAGGUGCUGAAGCAGGUGCACCCGGACGUAGGCAUCUCCUCCAAGGCCAUGUCCAUCAUGAACUCCUUCAUCAACGACAUCUUCGAGAAGCUCGCCGGGGAGUCGGCCAAGCUGGCGCGGUACAACAAGAAGCCCACCAUCACGUCCCGGGAGAUCCAGACCUCCGUCCGCCUCGUCCUCCCUGGGGAGCUCGCCAAGCACGCCGUCUCCGAGGGCACCAAGGCCGUCACCAAGUUCACUUCAUCCUAGGCGUUGUCGUUGUUUCAUGAGUUGAUGGCGGCAGGCAUCGUGUAUGUAGUUGGCAGCAGUGUGAUGUUACAAUCUCUGUAAGAAUUGUGCUGCUUGCGGCCCUGAAGAAAUAGUGAUGUUGCUGUUUGAAUCAAUGUUGCUGUGUGCUUGUCUGUCGCUUCAGUGAUAGCUUGUGUGCUUGACUCUCUUCUUGAUGCCAUUUGUUUAUGUCAACAAGUUUCUACUGUGAUAGUUUAUCUAGUUUAAUUUGCUGUCAUUUUAUCUACUGUGAUUGUUUCCAAGUCUGCACAUAGAAACCUCUGAUUUUAAAUCUACAAUCUUUGGAGUUUGUUUUCUUAACCUAUAUACUGUUGCUGCCAUUUGAGUAAAACUGAAGUUGGCGAGCUUUGUUAAUUUCUGACAGAUCUUUCCAAGUUUUUCCCUUAGUGGACUUGUUAUCCAUAUGGCAAGAUGCCAAGAACAGCUUGACCGCUAGUGCUCAGAAAGUCACAAUGCAUUAGAUUCAGAUUAGCUUCUUGAGAUAAAUUAGAGGCUUUUCACAAAAAAAGAAGAAAUAAAUUAGAGGCAGCGCACCCAUGUUUUUUAGAGUCAAGGAGCAAGCUAGAUGGAACCAUCAUCUUUUUAGGAUGGCAUACCUGAGUUUUUUUCUCUAUAUAUGUUUAUACUACAGUAGCUAAUUUUCCUUUGUUCUACUACUACACUUGGUAAUUUGUGAUCACGAAGCCACCAAUUUUGUGAAGGUGCAAAGUUUUUUUCUAUUGAUUCAUUUCUCUAUGUUUAUGUACAUUUGUAUGGAUAUAUGAAUUCUAAGUUACUUGCAUUGGCAAUAACCCUUCACCAUUCGCCAUCUUUGGUUACGGGAGCUGUUCCUCAUUUGUGUUAGAUGAUGUUACUAGAGGCCUCAUGUUACUAUCUUGUAGGAGUUGUGCCGCGUGAAAUAGUACUGUUGCUGUUUAAAUUAAUGAUCAAGGUCUGCUUGCAUGUCACAUCAGAUUCUUUACAUAGAAGUUUUUAGUUUGCACUCUCGAAAUGUUUUUAGUUUGCAUUUCUGUAGUUAGUUCAUGACUUGCUGUUGUCCAGGUUUUGUUAGCAGCUUUCUCAUUUUCUCUACUCAUUUUGGCGCCAUAUCAAAAUUUCAAACCUCUACUGUUGGCGCCAUAUCAAAGCACUUGGACGUCAUGCUGUGAGCCAGCCUGGAGGAAUUGGAACUUUUGGAAGGUGCAGCAAGCACUGCCAGCAACAGAGGCAUUUGAGCUGUGACUGUUGUUGACAGGCAUUCAAACCUUGCGGAUAUCGUAGGGAGUUUGACGGAAUAUUUGCAAAGAAUUGCUAGGUGAAUCAAGGCACCUCAAAUUAUGCUAUUUUAGCUGGGUCCUGUUUGAAUCGUUCUCAUUUCCAGUUUUCUUGAUCUUUAGCAGAUGUGUCAUCCCCCUUCCCCUCUUAAUGCAGAAGCAGAGCUCCUGCUGCCAAAGUCAAAAUAGAUGCAAAAGCCACAAAUGCAGAUGAACCCAUUUUCCAACCAAAAAACAUAGGUCAAAAUGAGAGAAAUGGUUAGAGGGGACUGAAGCUCGACAAACAGAAAAGGUGGAGUGGGAAAAGCCGAUUUGAUUGUCUGAAGGAACAACUUGCGGCGCUAAAGAUGCAGUUGAGGUGCAAGAGAGCCAAUACAACUUGAGGUACGCCCUUAGCUAAAUCCAGUAGUACAAACAACCAAGGCUCCAUGGACAUGAGGCGAAAACAAUCUGGUACAACAAUAUAUGCCUAGGUUGUUUUUUCCGAUAAAGGGUGUUUUCUUACUGACUCAUAAUGUAGCAUGGAGGGAUACAAUCAUAAUUUAUACACAGCCGGCCUCUGCAUAACUAGGAUGCACGCAGCCAACAAACACACGCACUAACCGACCACACCGCCAAAAAGCAAAGCCAUAUAAGACCAAAGCCAUGCCUAUGCAGAGGAAAAAAAACCAAGCAAUAAAAAUAACAAUUGACGAUAUAUAGCAGUGACCAUCGGAGCCAACCAUUUCUUGGCAACACAAGGACUACGAACAACAUAUGCCUAGGUGGAAACCGUGACGUGGGUUUUCCAUUAGUAAGAAAGAGUAAAAACUGGUAAACACUGGUAAACUAAAAUGAACUUCAUAGUGGCCUUGGCCAUGGAUAUUUCUUACAUUGGAGCUGUAAAUCUGGCAGGCGAUGACUAUGCAGAACUUUUUGGCAAAGCUUGCCACCAAAGAGAACUAGGGAUCAACGGGCAUCUCCAUGGGAAUCGUUGGUACAAGUACAUAUACAGUUUGGUGUUCCUGGUCACUUUUUCAGCAAGAUCUUGCAAGAGGUCCGCUAUUUGGACCCUUCUGACUACAAACAUAAUCUCUUUUCUCGACAAUAGAACGAUAACCCAUCACCAGUUUACUGACUUGGAAAAUUGGCAAUCCAUCCAUAACGGCAGCCUGAAACAUGUCUUUGAGCAUCAUUUGCUUAGCUUGGUAGUUUCUACAAGGCAUCCAAGCUUCUGCCUAUUUUUUCUUCUAUCCAGGCAAGUCUCCUCUCAAGUUUUAGCACACUGGCAUGAAUAACCCUAAUAUCAACCUUUGCAAGCUUGGCAAAUGAGUGUACCAACAUGUAAUAAUCAGCGUGUCCAACACAAUCGAGACUACCAGUUAUAUUGUUUUCUUUCUAUAGUGAAGAUAGCCAUCUGAUCUCGGGCACUUCCUUGGCGGCAUAUAACAAAGUCCAUGGUCUUCCAUUUCUGACUUGAUACUUAGUAUCCCUGAUGAUGAUGAAGAAAAGCACCUUGCGCCAACAAAAUUCCAUCUCGACCUCGUUUAUUCACUCCAGUUGUGGUUCUUGUUAAACAUAUUGUAACGUGACAUACAUUGUAACGUAGCAUGUAGCGCCGGCUAGGUUGCUAGGAUCGAUCUCUAUCCUCAUGUAACCGUAGCCUUAUCUCUCCAUCUCUUUCCUUGGUUCACAAGUUGUAAUCCCAACCAAUUGUAUGCGCUAUCCAGGGAGGUGCGCCCCUGUUAUAUUAACACGCAGCGCGUCCCUCCAACGAGGUAAGACGCUUAAGCCAACCUUCACAUGGUAUACAGAGUCUCCCUCUUCCUAUACAUCUAGCAUCCAUCGUUUUCCAUCCACGAGCUCGCCAUGUCCUCCUCCUCCACCAGUGCUCCUCUGGCCGUCCUCAAUGGUCAGGUUACAGAGAAGCUCACCUGGACGAACUACGUCCUCUGGCGUGUGCAGGUCACGCCACAGCUGAUCGGGGCUGGUGUCUUCGGCUAUGCCGAAGGGACAAUCAAAGAACAAGAGAAGUUCAUCGUCACCAAGGACAAAGACGGCAAGGAAUCAGCCUCACCGAAUCCUCUUCAUCAAGUCUGGGUGCGGGAAGAUCAGCAGGUAUUGGCAUAUUUGCUGGUUAAUCUUUCCAGAGAAGUUCUUGUCCAGGUGACCAACAUCCACAAGGCGCACGAGCUCUGGGCUGCGGUGGCGAACAUGUUUUGUCCUAGUCCAGAUCGCGUGUGAACAACAUCCGUGUCGCCCUCUCCAACGCAGAGAAGGGCACAGAGACGGUGGGCGCCUACUUCGCCUAUAUGCGUGGCCUCGCCGACGAGCUAGCAGCUGCUGGCAAGCCUCUAGAUGACGACGAACAGAUCUCCUACAUCAUCGCCGGGAUGGGUAUGGAGUACCAGCCACUGGUGUCAGCCCUCGACGCCCGCACCGACCUGUCACGCUCGAUGAUCUGUUCGCUCAGAUGAGCAACUUUGAUCAGUGCGUGGCGAUGUUCCAAGGCAGCAACGGCAGCGGUUUCAAGUCCUCCGCCAACGCCGCUAUUCGUGGUGGCCGUGGUGGCUCCCGCCACCAUGGUCCGCCGCGCGGCAAGAGCAAAGGAAAUGGCAGCGGCAACUACAGCAACAGCAACGGUGGCGGUGCUCCUCGCACCGGUGCCGGCGGACGGCCCUCCUCCAACAACAAUAGGGGCCGUCGUUCCUCCUCCAGAAUCGCCCCGAUGCUGUCCGCUGUCAUAUAUGCGGAAAGCUGGGCCACUCCGCUAAAGACUGCUGGUACAGGUUCGAGGAAGAUGAAGGUGACUCCUCCCAGGACGAAAAAGUUGUUGGUGCUGCCGAAGCUUCAUACGGUGUAGAUACAAAUUGAUACAUGGAUAGUGGUGCUACAAACCACAUCACCGGUAAGUUGGAGAAAGUAACCAUGCGGGAGAAAUACCGUGGUCAAGACCAUAUCCACACUGCCAGUGGAGCAGGUAUGAGGAUCAAACAUGUUGGUCAUUCAGUUGUUAAAACCCCUUAUCGUCCAAUUCACCUCAGAAAAAUACUACAUGUCCCUAGUGCAUUUAAAAAUCUUCUUUCCGUCCAUCGAAUUGCUAUUGACAAUCAUGUGUUUCUCGAGGUUCGCCCCUUUUUUCUUUUUGAUCAAGGAUCAGGCAACGAAGAAGGUUCUCUACCGAGGUAGAUGUGUUCGAGGGCUUUACCCAUUGGUUCCGGAGUUUAGAAGAUUCAAUAAGCAAGCAUAUGGUGUCACCAAACUCUCAACGACGAGGUGGCACGAUAGACUAGGGCAUGCAUCUUUUUCUUAAGUUGAACGAUUGCUUAGGAAGAAUAAGCUCCCAUAUGUUGGAGAGCGUGAUAUUGAAACCAUUUGUGAUUCUUGUCAAAGAGCUAAAAGUCAUCAGCUACCCUAUCCAAUUUCAACUAGUAUUUCUACCAAACCUUUGCAACUCAUUUUCUCUGAUGUAUGGGGGCCUGCCCCAGUUCAGUUGGUAGACACACAUACUAUGUUAGUUUCAUCGAUGACUAUAGCAAGUACUCUUGGAUCUAUCUUCUUAAGAAACGAUCCGAUGUUUUUCAAGUGUUUCAAAACUUCCAAGCUCUCGUUGAACGAAAGUUUGAUAGCAAAGUUAUUGCUGUCCAAUCUGAUUGGGGAGGGGAGUACGAAAAAUUAAACUCCUUUUUCCAAACUCUCGGUGUCUCUCACCAAGUGUCAUGCCCUCAUGCCCAUCAACAGAAUGGGUCUGCUGAACGCAAGCACGGACACAUUGUUAAGGUUGGCCUUGCCCUUUUAGCUGGCGCAUCCAUGCCCCUUAAAUUUUGGGACGAAGCUUUUCUAUCUGCUGUUCACAUCAUUAACAUGUUGCCUAGUAAAGUCAUCAACAAUGAAACUCCAGUUGAACGACUCCUCCAUACCAAACCAGACUAUGCAUCGCUUCGUGUCUUUGGUUGUGCAUGCUGGCCAAAUCUUAGGCCAUACAAUCAGCGCAAACUUAUGUUUCGAUCAACACAAUGUGUUUUCUUAGGCUAUAGUCCCCAACACAAGGGCGUAAAAUGCCUAGAUGUUCCCACUGGACGCGUCUACAUAUCUCGUGACGUUCUUUUUGAUGAAACCAAAUUUCCUUUCGCUGAUCUACACCCCAAUGCCGGUGCACUCCUUCGCAAAGAAAUUCUUCUUCUACCUCCUAGUCUUGUUGGCGAUCAUGGGGAACACAACUGUAAUGAUCACAUGACUAAUCCUCCUAAUACCUUGGCUGAAUUGUGUGAUGAUGUAGACCAGCACAGCGAAGGCGAUGCAGCAAACAGAUUUGAAAAUAAUGAAGAAACAACCCAAACAGGGUGAUAUUUCAUGUGCAGGGACUUGGGGGACAAAUCUACAUCGGGAUCGGCUCCUCGUCAGGACGACAGGCUAUCUCCUUUGGGAUUCGCCCCGUCUGCAUGCACGCGGGCCGCAGGUGCCAGCGAUCUGCUCGACAGCGACCGCCCCGGCCGCUCCAUCUCGACCACGCGGCGCGCCUCCACCGACCCGGAGCCCUCCUCCGACCCGCACCAAUCACCGACUGCCACGUGGCGGUCUCCAAGUCGCUUCCCCGACUCCAUCCACUGCUAUGCGCGGCGUCAGCACCAACCGAUCGGCGCGGGCUCCCAUGAGCCAACCGCCACAGGCGCUGCGGCUCUGACGCACCCACCUGGUCCGGAAUCUGGCGCCACCCCAUCUGCUCCUCGGGAUGCCGCGACGCCCGGAUCUUCUGUGCUGCACCGCGCUGCUUCGUCACGCCCUUCAGCCGCAGACAAUCCUGAUCCAGAGGCGCCUGCUCCAGGGGGAUCUACUGCAUAUUCUCUAGGAUCUUCUGCGAUUGCUGCUGCUACAGCGCCUGCUACACCACCUCGGACACAUCUCUAAAGAGGGGUAACUCAACCUGUUAAUUAUAAAAAAAAUUCUCAAGUAUGGUCUGGCAUGUUCCACAGGUGAACCACAGUCUUUGCAUGAGGCACUUGGUGACACACGUUGGAAACAAGCUAUGGAUGAAGAAUACAAGGCACUUCUGAAAACAACACCUGGCACUUAGUUCCCCCACAACAAGGUAAAAAUCUCAUUGACUGUAAGUGGGUCUUCAGGAUCAAAAAAAGGUCUGAUGGAACUAUUAAUCGCUACAAAGCUCGACUUGUUGCAAAAGGCUUCAAGCAACGGUAUGGUUUAGAUUACAAGGACACCUUUAGUCCUAUUGUCAAAUUUGCAACUAUCCGCUUGGUUCUGUCUAUUGUUGUAUCCAGGGGAUGAACUCUCAGGCAGCUAGAUGUUUAGAACGCGUUUCUCCAUGGUGUUCUGGAAGAGGAAGUAUAUAUGAAGCAACCUCCUAGGUUUGAAAACAAGAACACUCCCUUUCAAGUCUGCAAACUUGACAAAGCACUGUAUGGGCUCAAGCAAGCCCCCGGGCCUGGUACUCACGACUCAGUCAGAAAAUGCAGUCACUUGGCUUUAUUCCAUCCAAGUCUGAUACAUCCUUGUUCAUAUACAAUAAGUCAAACACGGCUAUAUUUGUGCUUAUCUAUGUCGAUGACAUUAUUGUUACCAGCUCAUCUAAUGAUGCAAUGACAGGAUUGUUAAAGGACUUGGGUGUAGAAUUUGCACUCAAAGACCUAGGAGAUCUGCACUUCUUCCUAGGCAUUGAAGUCAAGAAACUUGGAGAUGGACUGCAUCUCUCUCAGGAGAAAUAUGUCAAUGAUAUUGUUAAAAGAGUUGGACUGCAAGGAUGUAAGCCAUCACCAACCCCUUUGUCUAAUACAGAAAAAUUGUCUAUUACAAAAGGAGAACUCCUGAAUCAGGAAGAUAGCACUAAAUACAGAAGUCUGGUAGGUGCACUUCAGAACUUGACAAUUACUAGGCCAGAUAUUUCAUUUGCCGUUAACAAAGUUUGCCAGUUUCUUCAUGCACCUACUACAAAUCAUUGGACUGCUGCAAAGCGUAUAGUCAGAUAUGUGAAAGCCACUAUGAAUGUUGGUCUUAGCUUUAACAAGUCUUCAUCUACCCUUGUUAGUGCCUUCUCAGACUCUGAUUGGGCAGGAGAUAUUGAUGAUAGACGCUCAACUGGUGGCUUUGCAAUACUUUUUGGACCUAACCUCAUAUCUUGGUGUGCAAACAAACAGGCCACUGUCUCAAGAUCAACCACAGAGGCAGAAUAUAAAGCAUUAGCAAAUGCUACAGCUGAGAUAAUCUGGGUACAGUCCAUGCUCAAGGAACUUGGUAUAAGACAGAGUCAAGUUCCUUGUCUUUGGUGUGACAAUCUUGGUGCCACGUAUUUGGCUGCUAAUCCUGUCUUUCAUGCAAGAACAAAACAUAUUGAGAUAGAUUUCCACUUUGUUCGAGAAAGAGUUGCUAACAAAGACUGGAGAUCCGUUUUGUUCAUUCCAGAGAUCAAGUUGCAGAUAGAUUCACCAAGGCAUUACCAACAAGGAAUUUUGAAGAAUUCAAGCGUAAUCUCAACUUGACCAAGUUGUGAUUAAGGGAGGGUGUUAAACAUAUUGUAACGUGACAUACAUUGUAACGUAGCAUCUAGCGCCGGCUAGGUUGUUAGGAUCGAUCUCUAUCCUCCUGUAACCGUAGCCUUAUCUCUCCCUCUCUUUCCUUGGUUCACAAGUUGUAAUCCCAACCAAUUGUAUGCGCUAUCCAGGGAGGUGCGCCCCUGUUAUAUUAACACGCAGCGCGUGCCUCCAAUGAGGUAAGACGCUUAAACCAAUCUUCACAGUUCUUAUUUCCUCCAUGUGUGCUUUUGGAUUCUCAUCCUACAAUGCAACAGAUUUAGCCAUCAAGUCAACAACAUCACCCCCAAAAGAAAUGCAGCAAAUCCUCAAGGUACUACAUUGUACAAAUUUUAAGCACAAAUAUGCUGCGAACAAAUAGAGAUUUUUUACAAUUAAUAAUUGUUUUUCUAUUUAUCUUUUAAUUUUAUAAUUUUGUUGUUUCUCAAAAAGAAACCCAGUUGUGUUUGGUUUCUAGAAUCAUUUACGUUUUCUUUCAUGCUGAUUUUGUUCCUGAAAUAACAUUCAUAGAUAGAAAUUGUUAGUGGUUUGUACCCAAGGUUUAGAAAUUCUGCAUUCGUAGAGAUUAGAAGUUCAAAAUAAAUAUAGUAUGUGAUUAGAGUAAAAUAGAAAACUCUAUCUGAAUAGCAACUUUAUUGUUUUUAAGCUUUUAAAUUUAUAACAUGCAGUUGCUCAAAAUAAAACAAAAUAUUAUUCAAACCAAUUGUGUUUGGUUUCUCAGAUCUUUUGCGUUUUUUUGUUCUGAUUUUGUUCCUGAAAUAGUAUCCAUACAUAGAACCUUGUUAAUGGUUUGCACUAAAGGUCCAGAUCGAAAGGCACUAGGCACUAGGCACUAAAGGUCCACGCGUUUUGUGAUAAUUCAUGAUGAAUAAUUCCAAUAAAGUUUAAUUAUUUUUAAUACCCAAAAUACAUUUUCUUAGUAUGCGAAGAACAUUUUUAGUACAUGGUCUUUUUUAAAAACACGUGGAUUAUCGUUAGUGAAAUAUAAAUAUUUUGUGCACACUAUAAACAUUUUUUAAAAAUAAAGUAUUGUCAUUUUCAGUAAAUUGUAAAACAUCCUUGAUAUACAUCAAAUAAUUUUUAACAAAGAAGUUAUUCUUUAAUACACAAAGAAAAACUUUUAAAUAAUUAGCUAAUAUUUUUCUAAUAUGUAAUAAAAUAAUUAAUACAUGUCGAGCCUUUAUAAUACGCAUGCACAUUUUUAAUACUCCCUCCGUUCCAAAAUGUAGUGCAUACAGUUUUCUUUUUGGAAAAGUCAAAGUUUACAAACUUUGACUAAAUUUAUAGAGAAGAAUAUUUAUAUCUAGAAUACCAAAUAUAUAAAAUACUCCCUCCGUCCAAAAAUAACUAUCGCUCAAACGAAUGUAUCUAGCACUAAAAUACAUCUUGAUACAUCCUUUUGAGCAACGGUUAUUUCUGGACGGAGGUAGUAUGAGACUACAUCUUAUGAUGAGUAUAAUGAUAUAUAUGUUUGGCAAUCUAGAUGUAAGUGUUUUUCUUUAAAAAAUAGGUCUAAGUUGGUGAGGUUUGACUUCUCAAAAAAUCUAUAUGCAGUACAUUAUGGAACGGAGGGAGUACAUGAAAAAACAUACUCCUAUCUCAAAGCAUGGGGACCAUUUUUUAGAAAGUGAUUUCAUAAAUGGUAUGGGGAAAGGAAAAAAGAAAUAAACAGAAAAAACAGGAGAAAGGAAACCCCAAAAGGGAAAACAAUAAAUGUAUAAAAAGAAAAAGGAAUAGAAAAGUAAAUAUGAAAGAAAAACUAAAGUGAAAGAAACAGGAAAACAAGAAAAAAAAGGGAAACAAGAGUUAAACAGAAAAUAUAUGCACAUAAACCACCCAUCCCAUAGGAAAUAGAGGCAAAACGAGGGAGGCAAACCCCCAUACAUUACCCGAGCCAUGACCCAUGUCGAGAUUGCUAGAGGCGAGUACAUGGUAUAUCUAGCAAUAAGCUAGAUAUUCUUUGUAAAAACAAACAACCAAUUGAGAACCGCUGCCAAUACAUAACAGAGCGGCUCCGGGCCUCUUUAUUAUGUAAAAACAAACACCAAUUUUUUUAUGUGAAAACGUGAACAUUAUUAGAAUUUGUCAACACUUUUCUAAAACGAGAACAUGUGUUGAAAAUAAAACAUCUUUAGAAAAUGUGUAUCUUUUAUACACGAACAUUUUUUUUAAUUUUGAAAAUUUCACCAAACAUGAAUAUUUCAAAUUUGGAGAAUUUUUUGGAAUGUCAUUUUCUAUUUAGAAAUCUCAAACAAUUUUGAACAAAAAUAAAUGGCUAACUUUUUGCAAGUUCCGAAUAUUUUUCAAAAUAGUAACAAUUUUUUGAAAUUCUGAACAUUUUGCCAAUUGUGAAGUUUUAAUUUACGAAAUAAAUUCAAAAAUAAAAAUAAACUUGGAAGAGGAAAAACAGACAGGGAAAGGAGAAUAAAAAUAGAAGUAAAACACAGAAAAAAAGAAAAAUUGGCAGCCCAUUAUUGGAUGUCCUGUGCGAAACUCCGACUAUUUCUCGCACUAUGCAGAAAAUAUAUUAUGUUCCCAACUGCGUGGGAAGAAAAAUAAGUGUGUUGGCUUCGCCGGGCCACAAUGUGCGGUCCACGUAAGAAUUUGUUUUUUCUAGCAGACAAACAUAUAAGAAUUUAGUACCACCUCGGGUAGAAAAAAAUACUUUCAGCGGUGAACGGAUGAAAAAUUAUAUAGUUUUGUGAAAAGAACAUAUUGCAUCACCAUAUUCAAAUCUUUCAUUUUGCCUUUUUCCCAAAUUUUCCGAAAAUAAAUUAAUAUUUGUGGAUUGAAAAAUAUUUUUAAAACAUGAACAAUUUUUAAAAUACCGAAAAGUUUUCUGAAAAUUUCGUUCAUUUUGGACAAAGGUGAACACCAUUUGAAAUAGGGAGAUUUUUUUAGACUUCACAAACAUUUAUCGAAAACAUGAACCUUUGAAAAAGCACUAAGGUUUUUUUAAUUUAGGAUUUUUUUUUAAUAGAAACAUGUUUUGAGCAUUUAUAACAAUCUUUGAAAAUGUAUUUAUUUUUAACCACUGUCGUUAUUUUGAAUUUGUGAACAUUUCAUUAAACAAGAAUAUAUAUCAAAUAUGGAACAUAUUUUAAAAAUCCAAUUUUAUUUCGAAAAUCCCAAUUUUUUGGGAGAACACAAUUUUUUUGAAAAAAUGGAACCUUUUCUCAAAUCCAAUUUUAUUUUGAAUACCUGUUUUUUGGAAAACAUAAACAUUUUUUAAAAAUUUGGAUUGUUUUUGUAAUUUUGAACAAAUUUGGAAUGAAUUUUUUUUCCAAGUUUCGAACAUUUUUAAGAACAGGAACAAAAGUUCGGAAAUCGGAAUUAUUUUCUAAAAAUUGAAAACACAAAUCUUAAUUCUGUUGUUUAAAUGUAUUUAAGGAAAAAACUAAAAAAUUCUAAAGUUUGCAGGAAAAGGAAAAAAGAAAUAGAGAAAGGAACAAAAAACAAAAUAGAAAUAAGACACAGAAAAAAAGAAAACGGUCUGGCCCAGCUUUGCGCCCUGUGCGAAGGUCAGACUAUUUGUCGCCGCGUGCGGUAAAUAGGGUUUUCCUAACUGUUUGCGCUGGGAAAUAAGUGGGCUCGCUUGGACGGGCCACAACGUGCACGACCCAUGUAUGAAAAUUACGUUUUCUUUUCUAGCAAACGGACGCACACAAAUUUAGUAGCACCUCGGAUAGGGGAAAAACUUUUCGGCGGUGAACGGAUGAAAAAAUUGGAGAAACGCACCUUAUUUUAUUAGUAGGUAUAGAUAUAGAUUAAAGCCAUGACGAGCUCGGCGUACUUUCGCUAUGAUGUUGCCUUCGGUGCAUCUGAAUUUCAAAUGCCAUCUUGUUUCCCGAUUGAUGAAGUCCACUCUCCGAACCAACUCCCAUCAUUGUCUUUUAAGAGCAUCUCCAAUGGACCCCAAAGACGGGAAGGGAGGGAGGGGAGGGGGUACUGAACGGUUUUUACUAGGCAUGAUCUCCACAAUGAUGCAACCUCAACCCCUCUUAAUAGCGCGACUUUCCUAAUAUUUAAAUAAACCAAAAAAUCAGUCAUCGACAAAUCAGCACAUUUUGAGCGAGGGGGAGGGGUGCACCAUCUCGUUCCUUUUCAUCAACGCUUUUAGUCCUACUAAACAUAUCAUCACAACAAAAUACAAUUAGGGUCUAUAUGCACUCUCAAAACUAUUUACUUUCCUUUUUUUAGUUAGAUGCACACAACAAAGAAAUAUAUUAAGAUAAAUACAUGUACACAUUGAUGGGUUUUGUGUACUAAUAACAACCACUUGGCUGGUUUCGUGUUUACAAACUCAUCUUUUCAGAAUCGUUUUCCUCCUGUCCCUGGCGGCUGGAACCCUAGCCGCCGCCAGGAGAGCCCAAUCUUUCGGCGCCGUCCUCCAGCGGCUCCCCUCCGCCGGCGACCUCGGUCGUCGGUGGUGGUGGGGGGGGGGGGUCGCCGGAUCCACGCGUGUGGAUUGUUUUUACUCCCUCGUAGUUUAGGUUUUUAGGCUGUUCAUCGUCUUUGCUUCGGCGGCACGAUGACAGCGCUGAAUAAAGAUUCUUCGGAUCCUUCCUUGACAAGGCCAUGGGUCCUAUGGUUGGGGAUGGAUUUGGAAACCAGUCGGUUCAAGCAAGGAUGGCGUGGCGGCGGCGGUAUCCUCAUGGUGGACCUGUGUCCUCGGGCUCCGCCAUUGCGACGAUGUUUGCUCCAGCAUCGGCGCGGAGCUUGGGAGGUAGUCCAGGAGCGGAUGCAGAUUGUGGUCUGCAUCGACGACAUCUGGAAGACGGAACAUGUGCUGGGUUCGUGGUUCGUGGAUGGCAGGUAUGGUUUCCUUCUGCGGCGUCUUAGUCGCGGUGGGGUGCCAGAUCUGGAGUUCGAUAGCGUGUCCGGGGUGUUGCCCCGGUCUGAUUCGUUCAACAAUAAGGGCUUCACUUUUGGUGAGCCACCUUGGAGGUCCGCAAAGCUGCAUAUCAGCGAUGAAACCGCGUCGAGCUCGGGUGAGGAGGUGAUCCAUCAUUGUUUUCUUCGGUGCCUAUUGUUGUGGUGCCGGAGGCAGGUGGUGGGCGUUGGUGUCAAGCUCAAAGAUGUUCUGCUAUCUUUUCAGUUUUGUCAUGUCGAUCCUUACGUGACUUGUACUUAAAUCUUUAUGAUAUGAAUAAGACAUGUAUUACCUUGCAAUAAAAAAACAUUUUUUCAGUGAACAAACAUACAUCGCUUUGGCGGCUCAGCGUUCUUAUAGACAUUGCAUAGCAGCGUCCGGUUGUGCCUGGGCAAGCUACAUCUUGCUUACUGUGAGACAAAUCGUUGUGUGCCGACUCAUUUAAGAGGAUUUCAUAACCCUCCGUGGGAGGGCUGGAUUAGUUUUAGGAACCUUCUGGUUGGUUUUCUGUCCAUUUUUUCUCCUUCUCUAUGUUUUUUCUCUACUGGUUUUCAUCGGUUUUCUUUCUUUCUUUAUAUUUUUGUUUUCUUCACUUUUUCCUUUUUUUCAAAUAUAUGUCGACUUUUGGUCGAUGUACGCUGAACAUUUUCAGUACAUAGGUUGAACAUUGUUCACAUACUCCUUGAUUUUUUUUAAAUCUGCAUUGGAUAUUUUUUCUGUUUGAUCUAUUUUUCUCCUUUUCGUUUUUAUGUAUUUAUUUUUCAUUUUCAAAUAAAAUUUUAGAUAUUUGAUCGGAUUUUUAAUCAAAUGUGUCUUGCAUUUUUCCUCAAUGUAUACAAGGUUAUAUAUCAUAUCAACAAUUGUAUUUAGAUGGCUAUGCAUAUACCAAAGAAUUAACCCAAAAGAAAAUCUCGAGAUAGAAUCAAACUUCUAAACUGUUCUCUAUCUUUUCUUUUCUUGAACGGGAAUCUGUAAACAACUAUCUGAUCUUCGAAUCGAACAAAACUUUCAACGGGGAAAACCAAAGGAAGAAAAUGAAAUGAGAGAAGCAGAGAAAUGAUAAUACGAUGGAGGGCUUGGACUAGGUCGGCCUGCUACGUGUUGGGUGCAGCUGCAGGUCCAAUACACAUAGAUUGAAGGCCCAAUGCCCACAAAAAUUCAUACUAAUCAAUCUCUAGGCGUCCGCAUCGAGACGAUGGGGGUAACAGGGGAGUAAGAUACAGUCAUAUAGAAGACAUGUCUAAGGUUCAGUUCACAAAAAGGGUGGGCAAACAAAAAUAUGAGAAUAAAAUUCACGAAAUAUUGAAGAAACCAUAUUAGCAAAUAUGUCCUCGUGUUUGCUUUUUUUCUUAAAUUAGUAAGAUGCAAGGUUAGAAGUUGAUGUGCAUUGGUAUGCUUAGCUGUAUUCUGAUGAUAGCAUUUGACUUUGAGAGCAGAGUUACAGUUGGGGCAAAAUGUAAAAGAGAAAGGGGCAAGAGGGAUACUUAUUACUCCCUCCGUCCCAUAAUGUAAGACGUUUUUUGGCACUAUGUGAAACCUCUGACUAUUUCACCGUUUUACUGAGAUCAUUACCUGUUAUUUUCUCCACAGUGGUAACUUUGUAAAAAAAAACUUUGUUUUCUGAAAAAGGUGUUUUUUAUAUUGAUACAUGAAGCGCAGCAUCGACUUGAUUAUUUAUCCAGCAAUGUUUGCCCUCCUGUGUGGCAAGCAUUCUUCUACAGUAGCAUCUUGAUUUCUCAGUAAGUACCUGUUUCUCAGUCCAAAAGUAAUUCUGGUAUCUCAUUUCCUAAUUGUUUCUCAUGUCUGUUAGGUACAUCUGACUACAUGAUUUUGUCAUUUGCCUUGUCAUGUUUGUAACUCAGGAGUAUCUAAUUUAGUACAGUCAUCUGACUAUCCAAUGUUAAUAACAAGAAGCUGACAGUCUCUGAAGCAAAGGAUGGAUUGCAGCCAUGGAUACACAAGAGAAGAUGAUUGAAAGGAUUGCAUCUUUAGCCAUUCCGGACAUAAAUCAGAGAUAAAUUACAGCGCCCAUCUACCGGCUUGUUCAUCGAACUAAUGUAACAGCCACUACAGACUUAGGCAAUUACACACAGGAUCCAACCAACCAAAACUCAUCAUCCUCUCCCUGAUAUGGACCUAAGCAAUGUCACGACAGUAGUCUAUGGGCGGGCUACUCCUUGGCGGCGACCUUCUUCUUGGGGGACUUGGUGGAGGUCUUCUUCUUGGGCGACUUGGCCUCCUUCUCGGCGGCGGCGGGGGACUUCUUGGGGAGCAGCACGGAGUUGAUGUUGGGGAUCACGCCACCGUGGGCGAUGGUGACGCCAGCGAGCAGCCUGCCGAGCUCCUGGUCGUUGCGGACAGCGAGCAGCAGGUGGCGCGGGAUGAUGCGGGUCUUCUUGUUGUCCUUGGCCGCGUUGCCGGCAAGCUCCAGCACCUGAGAUUCAAAAAAGAAAUCUGUCAGUUAUCCGCCGAGCAGGAGAAGAACAGAGCAGAACAGGUGCUCGUGGACGGGAAAGAUCGGCGCAUACCUCGGCGGCGAGGUACUCGAGGACGGCGGCGAGGUAGACGGGGGCGCCGGAGCCGACGCGCUGGGCGUAGCGGCCCUUCUUGAGGUAGCGCCCGAUGCGGCCGACGGGGAACUGGAGCCCGGCCUUCACGGAGCGGGUCACCGCCUUCUUCCUGUCGCCGCCCUUCCUUCCGGCCAUCUUCUUGCUUGCUGCGUCUCCGGCGAGCUGGAAACUACUCGAGAUGCGUGGGCGGCGGUGCGCGCUGCUCUGUGUUUGUGGGUUGGUACGCCAGCGAGGGCGCGGCUUUUAUUGGGGAGGUGGCUUCGGCGGGACGGCGGCAGGGGGGAGCGAUCCGCGUGACGCAGUGUGCCUGCCGUUGGAUCUGCGGGGAGUGGGCGGUGGGGAUUGGUUUGGGGGUGCGAUCCGGGGGAGGGUCUGACCGCCCAAUCAGAGCGCAGGGAUUCAUCACGAAGGGAUUUUGCUUUAAUUAACACCUGGUUUUCGUUUCGUUUUGGGCACCAUUUAGGGUUUUUCUUCACUCUUAUCUUGCAUCUAUUUGGUUUUUCAGAUGUAGCCCUUGCUUAUAUUAUGUAUGUAUAUCGUUGUUUUGCUGUUAUCUAACGAUUGGAUUGGAUCCAUGUACAAAGGCCCCAAAUUAGAUUUGGUAUAUAUUCCCCAAAUUCCAAUCCGGUUGUUUGGGAUGCACACGAAAUAGUUGUCCGAAAUGGAGCGAAUACAUGCAUGAAAUCGCUCACACGUCUCGAGGCCUCCCACGUUUUUGUGCUCUCCCGCUCCAAUUUGGCUAGAAAUCAUCCUCGUGCAAAGGAUAACGAUUUAUCCCUUCUUUUCCCCACCGACGGCGGCACCCGGGUAACCCCCACUCGCCGGCCCUCCUCCUACUACUACUCCGGGACCUUAAUCCCCGACGUCGCGGCUCGUUCUCGUCCUCACAUGCCCCCCAUCUCCUCCUCAUAUAGCCUCCACGGCCUCGACCUAGCCGUCUGUCGUGGCUUCUCCUCCAAUAUUAGAAGUACAAAAAUGACGUGAUUUUAAUGAGAGUAAUUAUCCUCACAAUUUGUGUCCCAAGUAAAUUGGCAAUGAUAGAACGGAUCCAAAAAAUUAGAAAGAGGAAGAAGAGCUCCAAGAAUAACCUUAAGAACAAAUCUUGGGAAGCGUGUAAGGAUGGGCCUUACUAUCCCAAGAACCUCCAUCCCCUCCACUAAGGUAAAAUAUUUCAAUUUCACUAGCUUAUUCUAGCAAAGUUGUGUCGGGUGCAGGUUUGUGUGAAGGGUAUGACCGCGUCCUAUCGUACCUCUGUUAAUUUUUUUUUCCAAUGCCAAGCGACUCGGUACGAGCACAAGCGCUAAUGCGAUGGGCCGUCUUCUUCUUUGAAUGGAGCCAAUGCCUUUCACGACAUGGUACGACCUAGUUAGACCAUCGGUACGAGCACUCAUACCAUAGGCCAUCCUCCCCUCUUACUACAAAACUCUAAAAAAAUAUAUCUUUUUCACUUGUGCUGGAACCCUAGUUAGAGCACCGGUACGAGCCCGACCGCUUCGACUGGAGGUUGUGUUUCUCUCUAGAAAUUAAUAUUGUUUUUGCCGGAACCCAGUACAUGCACAGGUACGAGCACCAGCGCUCGACCCGACCUCGUCUUUUUCUCUGGUUCCGUGAUAACUUGCAAAUUCUCUAGGAUUUUGCCUUGUUUGUUUCCUAAUCUUCUUUAGUUAUCCAUGUCUCAUGAAACCCUGUGGUUAUGCCCUAAGAGGACCACCGGCGGAUUAUUGACCCAAAUUUUCAUUUCCAUCAUCGAACAUCUUCUCUAUAGGCGGUUAUGCCCUAUUAAAGAGUCGUACCUCAGAUACUAAUUGGAAGGAUCGACGCGAUCGACUAGAGGGGAUGAACAGGAGACUACAAUUGUAAGCUUAUCUUCUAUUUUUAGGGAGUUGUAGAUAAUGUAGGUUCUAUAUAUGUGCAACUAGGUGAACACAACCUAUAUGAAAAGCAAACUCAAAGCAAAUUACGCUAGGCAACAAUCUAAUUAGCAAGCCAACAAGCAUGCAAAGCAAGUGAACGAACGGGAAAGAUUAACCAAAAGUGGGUCGAGGAUCGUAUUUUAUACCGAAGUUCACAGCAUUCCCAAAGCCGAAGCCCCGAAACGCCACCACAUGGCUCACUUACACAACUUUGAGUCACCCCCAACGGAUGAGUCUCGAAUCACAAGGGGUUGGUCUAGAAGGCGACCACCACACCUUUACAAACUUCUCUGGAGCACACCAAACACAAGGACGCUUCUGGAGAAAACUCUACCACCUAGGAGCCCAAACUCCAAGAGUAUCAAGUGAUAAGAAAAUCGAGUGGGGAACACAAAUCAGUUUGGUAGAAAUGUAGAUCGAGCCUUGCUCUCCCAGAUGCGAACACAUUGGAGUAUUUGGAGGGAUUGAGAGUAUUAGAAAAAUGGAUGUUAGCAAUGCUGGAGCAACUCUCAAGACAUUAUAGUUGGGUUGGAGGAAGAAGAAGUUGUUAUUUACACUCCUUCAACAAAUCUAGUCAUUGCCCUCCCGGAGGUCCCCGUGCGCACGAGGUCACCCGAGGGAAUGCCACAGACCCCGUGGGCAGGAGGGGUCAUAGACACCAUGCGCAUGGGGUAUACAGAGGAUUUGCACUCGACCCAAGUGGUGUCAGGGGCUCGUGCACAUGGGGGGUCCAGAGAAUCAACCCUGGACCCUGUGGGCACGUGGUAGGAUGACAAAUAACAAAUUUAUGAUGAGUUUUCUGGUAUUUUAAGGAUGUAGCAUAGGGAAGGCCGGUGUAGGAGUUUGUUAUGUUCCCACGUUUUUUCCAAGCACCUUUACCACUCUUAAUGGUGUGGCUUCCCUAGACUAAAAUAAAGCAAAAUUAAAGCUUUGAGUCAUCGGAAAACCAUGUAUUUAUCCUUUUUUGAAGUGUGUGUGUGGGGGGUCAACUUUCUCCUCUUAAUAAUCAAUUGAGUAGCCAAUGACGUGAGAUAAUAAUAUAACAACCAUAAUUAGUUCCACUAACCAUGGUGUCAUUAGACGAAAAUACUCCCUCUGUCCCAAAUUAGUUGUCUUGCUACAAGUCCAUCUGACAACUAAUUUGGAAUGGAGGUAAUAUCAUUUGGAGAUAAAUGCACAUUCAGCAUUAAUUACCAAAAUGCAUGACUGUAAAGGCAUCAAUGAUUAUAGGUCGGUCUCUUUGGUCAGCAUGCCCAUGAAAUUUGCCACUGAACUCAUGGCUAACAUAGUACAAAAGGAAAUUAUUCAUGUGAUGCAUUAGAACUAUAUGGUUAUAUCAAGGGGGAAAAUCCAAGAUUGCCUAGGCUAGGCUUUUGAAUAUCUACACCUUUGUCAGUUAUCCAGAAAACAAUUCUCAUACUCCAGUUGGAUUUUGAUAGGGCAUUUGAUAAAGUUAAGUACAUUUGUAUACUGUCUAUGCUGCAUGAAAAAGGUUUUAGACCUAAAUGGCUUAGAUGGGUUGAAGCAUUUUUAUACUUUGCCACUACCUCAAUCAAUGGGGUACCUACGAAAGUUAUUCAUUGUAAGAGGGGCAAUAGGAUGACCCUCCACCCCCUUCUAUAUGUGCUAACAACUGGUUUAUACAAUUUUUCAUAAAUGAUGCUUGGCACAAUGGUGAAAUCAACCUACGUCGACUAUCCAAUGUCCAGGAUUACCCUAUUGUUCAUUAUGCAUAUGAUAAGCUCUUAAUCAUGCCUGCUGACCAUCACAACUUGUUGGAACUCAAAGAUAUCUUGACCAAAUUCAGCUUCUCUACUGGAUUGUAUGUGAAUUAUAGUAGAUCUUCAUCAGUGCCCAUCAUUGUGGAUCGUCAAACUUGCCACAAAUUGCAAAAAUGGACGUAUUACAAAAGCAUUGCCAUGUACCUAUCUCGGAAAUUGCUAAGAUUGACUGGAGAUUGGCUCGCAUAUCGACUCCUAAUUCAUAUUCAUGUAGACUAACAUAUAUCAACUCCGACAUCACCUCAAUGUUUGUGUUUUGCAUGUGUACCUUCAAGAUUCCCAUUACCAUACUUCAAGAUUGAGAGAAACCAUGUAGGAGAUUUCUUUGGAACAAAUUGAUAUUAAUAAAAGAGGGAGAUGUCUCGCCAAUAGGAAAAAUAUAUGGAGACCAGAUGACCAAGGUGGUUUAGGAGUCCUAAAUCCAAGGGCAUAAAUAAUGCAUUACUCAUGGAAACUAUUCACAAGAUGCACACGCGUGAAGACAUUUCAUGGGUCAAUCUACUUGGGAAGUAUACUAUGAUAAAAGGAUUGUCCCUCAUGCUACUAAGAAGGAUCUUUCUGUUGGAAGGAUUUCCUAACAUGGACUUAUACAGAAGGAUUGCUUCCUGCAAUGUUGGUAAUGGUAAAACUAUGUUGCUUUGGAAAAACAUAUGGAAUGGCGACAUUAUGCCGAGAAAAUCCCCACAAUUGCAUUAUUUUGCUUGGAAUGAAAACAUAUCCAUGGAGCAUUUGGUUGCAAAGAAAUGGGCAGAUCUUUGGAAUUAUUCAACCCAGUAUCAACUCCCGUAUUGAAUUCAGACUUUGUUCCUUUAUUAUUCAUAGAGCUGGGCCUAGUCUUAGAGAAGGCAUGCAAUCAUGGUUGGAUUCUUUUAAACUUACCCUAUGGACUUUGACACCACAUGUAUAUUAGUACAUUACCACCAUCAUUUAUAAAUAAAUAAAUAAAUAAAAUGGCACAGUAGGGGUCUUCCCUACCAUUUUUUCUCAGAAAAAGGAAUGAAACCUCCAAGGGCCUCUUUGAUUCAUAGGGUUGUAAAAACAUGGGAAUAGGGAAAAUAUAGGAUUGACAUGACAUGACCAUCUCAAUCCUACAAGAUUUUGGUUUAUUUGAUUGCAUCAUAGGAAAACAAAGAAUUAUUUUAAAGAUGCUUGAGUGGAUGCUAGAAAUCCUAUGGGAAGUAGUACAAAGAAAUUGUUAGGAAGAAACUCUAUGGGAUUCAAUCCUAUGAAUCAAAUAACAAACAUAUGAAAAGUUCCUAAGGAUUAUAAUCCUCCGAAGUUCCUACGAAAAUCCUUUGAACCAAAGGAGCCCUAACUAUUUUCUAUCUUUUAUUUUCUAGAAUAGGAAUUUCUAAAUUGUUAUUCGAUCUCCCGAACGAACUAAAAUUUCAAUAGGGGAAAAGGAAGGAAGAAAACGAAAUGAAAGAAGCCGAAAAACGAGAACAUGUUGGUUGGCCUGUACCAUGUCUACUUGAGAUGCGUUGGGUCUCAAUACACACAUGUUGAAGGCCCAGUGCCCCCCCUGAUGUUAAACCAUCUCUAUGUGUAUGCAUCGAGGCGACGGGGUUAAGGCCAUAAGGAGGAGCUACGCCCCUUAAGAUACAAUUAUACAAACUUACAAAUAACAUUAGUAAGGUUCAACUCACGGGAUUCUGGGGAAAAGUAGGAUCACACAGGCGAUCAAAGGAGGCGACGAGGUCGGUUCCCUUGCGCGCCGCCGGUGGCGCUGCCAGUUCCCUCUCUCUCCUUCGGCCGCUCCGACGGCGGGAGGGAGGGUGAACUUCGGGUCUGUCCGCUAGGUGGGUGUGUGGUAGGGUUAGGGUUGAGGGUGACGCUGUCGAGGCUGUUGCGGUGGUGUCACGUCGGAAGUUUCUCCGGGCUCUGUUCGCGGUCAGGCGAGGCUUUUGCCUUCGUCUAGGAGCCAGCGGGGUGGGGUUCCCCGGAUCUCGUCGAGGUUGCGGGCUAUGGUGAUUGGAGGUCCAUCUGCACUGGCCGUUUGGGUCCUCAGAUGGGUGAUGGAUGCAGGGAGACAAAGACCCUUCUUCUUCCUUGUCGGUAUGAUUUGCUGCUGUUGUUCUUCUCCUUCCCUUGCGCUGAUGCUGAAGAGAGAUCCUGCUUUGCCCGGGCGGAUGGCCCGGCUGCGGUGCUAGACCGGUCGGAUGACUUGAGUUCUCUUCCUUUCGGAAGGGACAUUUUUCGUGGUACUCAAAGCCAAAGAUGGCGACGGCUGUUGUAGGUGUGUUGGGUUGAUGUACAUGCCCUCUCAGCGCUGGUGUCAAGAAAGGAGGAAUCAGCGUGGCGGCAAUUGUACCGUGGUCGAAGAUGAUGAUCUGCUUGCGCCUGGUUGCAUGUCCUUCUGCUGCAAGGGUCUUCUCACAAGAUUCAGGGAUGAUGUCAGAGGGCUUCGGAGAUCUUCUUGUGUUAUGGUUGGCUUAAGGUACUCUAUGUGUUCAUGGUCCUUUGUGUUUGCGUUUUUAGUGUGCUUGUAAGGGUCAACUACUUUGUACUGUUUCAUGAUUCGAAUGAAAAAAAAUUCUCGAAAAAAAAAACUCACGGAUUUGUCGUGUGAUAUGCUUAUUUUAUAACCUAUUACAAAAAAGUAGACAUAAAAGUAGGCAAAGGCGGGUCAAAGAAACACCAAAAUAUGGAAAAGUGGGUGGGGCAAACAAGAUGACGAGAAUAUGCCACGAUGCCAAGCGUGACUUAAAAUAUGUAUACUUCCAACGUUAGUAGAAAAAAUCAUAAAAUAUUUAACAAAUGAAGAAAUAGAAUCAACAACUAUUGUUUUAUUGUGGGAGCAAAGUUACGGUUAGCGCUAAACAUAAAAAAAAGAAAGGGCCAAGAACGAAACCUCUGACCAUUCACCGUAGAUUAUUACAUGUAUAUUUUGCGGCCUUUUUUUUCUAUCUGAAAAUAGUGUGUUUUUUUAUUGAUGAACAUGAAGCGCAGCAUCAACUUACUUAUUUGUCCUCUGAUGGGCCUGACUUGUUGAUGAGCGUUGCCCAUGUCUUAAUAUCCCAGUAUAUGAUUCUGUUUUCGGUUAGUCUAAAAAUUUUCUUAUAUUAACCUACAGAGGGAGGACCUCGUUUGGUCAGUGGCACAUAAAUCAUAGCCUUCACGAGUCAGCCUAGUUUUUCAGUUUUGUGGUAUCUGACUAUCCAAAGUUAGUUUCCAGCUCAACUCAAACCAAAAGAAUUUUUUGCUUUGUGACAAUUAAAGUCAGAGUUCAAUUGUUUGGAACAACGCUCCUUGGCAUCAAAUUUGUCAAUUACUAGCACAUGAUUCAGCAUUGUCAGGACUUAAUUCGCCAUGUUUGCCUGCAAGAGUUUUGAACCCUUCUUUAUCCAAUUUAGUACUGCCAUCGUUUAACACUGACAGAGGGUACAGGGGUGAAAAGAUGCAGAAGCUGAGUGUUUGAAGCAACAUUCAGAAGAUUAAUCGAACACCAAAUGUUUCAAAAGCAAUGGCAGGUUACGAACACUGUUGAUCAGUUCCAUGGAUAAACAAGAGAAUAUGAUUGAACGGGUCACAUCUUUAGCCAUUCCACGCAUACUAAAUCACAUGUAAAAUACAGUCCUGACUGGCUUGUUCAUCGAACUAAUGAAUGAGCCACUACAGACUAGCAUUUACAUACAGGAUCCAAUCAACCAAAAGUCUCCUCAUCUUCUCCCUGAUAUGGAACUAAGAGUCAGCUAAGCUAGGGGCGGCUACUCCUUGGCGGCGACCUUCUUCUUGGGGGACUUGGUGGUGGUCUUCUUCUUGGGCGACUUGGCCUCCUUCUCUGCAGCGGCGGGGGACUUCUUGGGGAGCAGCACGGAGUUGAUGUUGGGGAUCACGCCACCGUGCGCGAUGGUGACGCCGGCGAGCAGCCUGCCGAGCUCCUGGUCGUUGCGGACGGCGAGCAGAAGGUGGCGCGGGAUGAUGCGGGUCUUCUUGUUGUCCUUGGCAGCGUUGCCGGCAAGCUCCAGGACCUGAGAUUCAGAAACGAAAACUGUCAGUUAUCCGUCGAGCACGGAAAGAACAGGAGUGCACAAGAAAGGACGGGAAACAUCAGUGCGUACCUCGGCGGCGAGGUACUCGAGGACGGCGGCGAGGUAGACGGGGGCGCCGGAGCCGACGCGCUGCGCGUAGCGGCCCUUCUUGAGGUAGCGCCCGAUGCGGCCGACGGGGAAUUGGAGCCCGGCCUUGACGGAGCGGGUCACCGCCUUCUUCCUGUCGCCUCCCUUCCUUCCAGCCAUCUUGCUUGCUACUUCACCGGCGAAGAGGGCUCUCGAGGUGUGGUGUUUGCGGCGGCGGUGCUGGAUCGGAA
RNAcentral lists this long non-coding RNA (88687 nucleotides) under Triticum aestivum (bread wheat). RNAcentral's name for it is "long non-coding RNA (TAES_LNC011168)". The stretch from base 69048 to 69185 matches the Rfam family "Small nucleolar RNA Z247". Lineage: Eukaryota; Viridiplantae; Streptophyta; Magnoliopsida; Poales; Poaceae. The record is from RNAcentral.